RNAcentral lists this long non-coding RNA (52039 nucleotides) under Citrus maxima (pomelo). RNAcentral describes it as "long non-coding RNA (CMAX_LNC000518)". Lineage: Eukaryota; Viridiplantae; Streptophyta; Magnoliopsida; Sapindales; Rutaceae. The record is from RNAcentral.
GAAUCUGGAUGCAGGAGCCUAGCCAAACCAAAAUCAGCAACAAAUGCCUCUAGGUUUGAAUUAAGUAGAAUGUUAUUGCUGGAUAUGUCGCGGUGAACAAUUGGUGGCUUGCAGUCAUAAUGCAAGUAAGACAAAGCAUGAGCCAUACUCUUUACAAUGUCCACUCUCUUAGUCCAAUCCAGCUCAACAACUUCAACGUCAUUGCGUAACACACAGAACAAGCUUCCCCACUCCAUGUACUCAUAGAUCAAAAACAUGCACUGGUUAUGCAAACAAAAACCAUAAAGCUUCACUAUAUUACGAUGCCGUAUUUGGGAUAGUAGACGAGCUUCAGUUUGAAAACUUUUAAGGAAGGCUAGCUCCUCUGUCUCUGAACGGUGAAGUUUCUUCAAAGCGACUACUCUUCCACUAGACAAUUGUGCUCUGUAAACGCUGCCAUAACCUCCGGUUCCAAUGCAAUAUUUGAUGUGGAAAUCCUCUGUCGCUUGAAUCAUCUCUUCAAAUGUAAUUCUACCAUCAUAAUCCCAUAUUGAGAACUCAUCAGCGCACUUUUUCAUUUCUCGGGUAUUAGGAUUAAUUUUCUCAUCCAUUCGUCUGUGGACAAACAAGAUUCCAAAAAUUAAGGCAAGGAAUGCGACCAUGGGAAGAAUAAUUGUAACCAAGGGAGUAACGAUCUUUUGGUUUUUUCCUUUGUUGCCUUUAAAAUGUUGUGUUUGGGGUGGUGGUGCAUUUUCUGAAAUAACUGGGUUUUCUACCUCUAGAUUGUUUUCUGACCAUUUUAAUCCGGGCACUCUAAAGACAGAUUCGGGGAUAACGCCGGAGAGGUUAUUCUUGGAAACGUCCACUUCAGAAACGUUUGGAAUUUUUCCGAGUUGAGAAGGUAUGGUGCCAUUUAUGAAGUUAUGGCUUAAAUCAAGUUGUCUCAGAUGUAUAAGGUUGCCUAUCUCCGAUGGAAUGCUUCCGCUUAAACUGUUGUGGUUUACUGCCAAGUUCUGUAACUGCGAGCAAUUCAUGAGUUCUGGAGGAAUGGAGCUGUUGAGCUGAUUAUAACCAAGAUUCAAAGAGGUGAGGUUGGUUAAAUAACCAAUUGUUGGAGGAAUGGGUCCAAUUAGGUUGUUCCUAUCAAGAGACAGAGAAUCAAGAUACUUCAGAUUUCCGACUUCUCGAGGCAGCAGACCACUUAGUUGGUUUGAAGAAAGAUCUAGAGAUGUUAAGUAGGUUAAAUUUCCUAUGGUCGGUGGAAUUGGACCAUCAAGUCUGUUGUGAGACAAGCGCAACUCAUCCAACAAGUUUAAAAAACCAAUGGUCGAAGGAAUAGGUCCAGUGAGAUUGUUCCUAUUUAGAAGCAGAGAAUCAAGAUUCUUCAGAUUUCCAACUUCUUUAGGCAGUGGACCAACAAGAUUGUUGUAAGCCAAGUACAAAGUACUUAACUGAUUUAAAUGAUAAAGCGUUGAAGGAAUAGGCCCAGUUAGAUUGUUAUUAUCCAGAAACAGAGACACAAGAUUCUUCAGAUUUCCAACUUCUUGAGGCAGCCGACCACUAAGUUGGUUUAAAGAAAGGUCCAAAUGUGUCAAGUUAGUUAAAUUACCUAUGGUCGAUGGAAUUAGACCAUCCAGUUUGUUGCCCUGCAACCUCAGGUCAUAAAGAUCCUUCAAAUUCCCAAAUUCUAAUGGGAUAGAACCAUUGAGAAUGUUAUAAGACAGAUUCAGUUCGAGAAGAUCCCUCAAACUCCCGAUCUCUGAAGGGAUAGUACCUAUCAUAUAUAUAUAUAUACAUGCAAAUGAUUAAUUAAUGAUAAAUGAGCAAUAUUAUCCAGUACCGAUAGGAAAUUAUUGUAUAUGCAAUGAAAUUAUAUAUAAUAGUUACCUGUAAGACGGUUAUAGGACAGGUCAAGCACUUUGAGUCUUGAAAGAGCACCAAUUUCUGAUGGUAUCCUUCCGGAGAGAAAACGAGUGCCCCAAAUUCUGAAAGUUACGAGGUUGGGAAAGCAAGUGAAGUUGAGUUGGCUAAGCUCUGCUGCGUUGCCAUUAUUAUCCAUCUCGUCAGAACUUAUCUCAACUAUGCUUCCUGCUGAAUUGCAAGUGAUUCCCAUCCACUUGCAAUGAUCUGAAGUAUAGUUGGCCGUCGCCCGACUGCUAUUCCACCAGCCUGAAUUAAGUAAAGCUUCCCUUUCUAACUGUAAGGCUGACGAUGCAUCAGAUGCUGUUAGAACUGCAUUAUCAGUUAUAACAGGAACAAUAAUACUGCUUAUAAAAGUUAUAAUGACCACCAAUUUUGAAAUGGAGAAAUCCGGUGCCAUUUUUGUAAGUUUUUGGUUGAUUAGAUUCAGCGGGUGCAUGCCUGCUUUUAUAACUAAACAUUAAGUUUGACAGCAACACUCAAUCAUUUUUAGCCCGCGUUGAGCUUUCUCCCUCAUCGUCAAAAUUGGCAUGCGCGUUAUCAAACACAAGAGUCAGUUGAGUUAAUGUCUUUUUAGGCCACUAAUUCCUAUUUUUAAUUAAUUUCGCAAAGUAAAGGCUACAUGUGAUUCAUAUUCUAGCAACUUUCUAUUUCUUUCUUUACUUUUUAGUCCACUUUCCAUUCUCCCAAUUACUUUUCUAGAAUGGAGGAUUAUAUAUAUUCUAGUAACUUUCUUUUUCUUUCUUUUCCUUUUGGUACAUACUUUAUGCCCGAAUUUAGACCCCGACCGAAUUCCACCAAAUUGUUUUUGUUCUUUUCUUUUUUGUAAUUUUUUUUUUCGCCUUUAUAUGGGUUCAUUUGGGAUUUAUGUUCGGGGCGUAUAGGCAUAGCAUUGCUCUUUACUUUGUGUCCACUUUCCUUCAUCAUCAAAAUAUUCGAUAAUGUCGGGAAAUAUUAAAAUUUGUUCUUAAUUAACAAAGAAUUAAGCCGACUACCAUAUUUCGCCAAAAGUCAAAGGAAAAAUUUCCAUUCUCCGGUACAACAUAUUCUAUAAUUUAUAGUAAUUGUCUAUUUGGUAAUGCGAACGGUUAUUUACACUAAGCAAUAUUUUGAAUAUUUUGAGACCCAAGUCAUACUCAAUGCUAAAAAUAAAAUAAAUAUUUUUUCUUCGUACAGAAAAAAAUAUAAAUUACCAACAUGUGAUAGGAGUUCAUCGAUACUUAUAUCAUUAUCAUCAUCCAAACCUAUAUUUGCAUCGUCAAUUUGUCGAUCUAGAAAUGAGACUAGUACCUAUGUGCUUAAUAAAAAAAAUUAUUAAAAAAAUAUUACCUUUCAAGUAAUACAUUAUUUUGUUGUGUAUUAUAUACUAAAUCAAUGAUGUAUUCUAAAUAGAUGUUCACCCUCAAGUGGUAUCAGAUAUCUACAUCUAAAAUGAUGUGUCUUAAAAUUUAAUGAGAAAAAUAUACAUAUAUUCUAAGGUUUGGGGAAAUAACAUGCAUGAACCUUACCAUAUAAUAUAACUUUAUGAUCGCAUUUUGGUGGAUAUUAUGUAAUUCAUUAACUUUGUUGUCUAUUAUAUACUAUAUUAAUGAUGAAUUCUAACUAGAUGAAAUUCACUCCCAAGUAGUGUCUGAUAUGGCCAUAUCCAUGUGUCCUAUAACUUUACUGAAACAAAUUUUGGGGAAUUUAAGAAUCUUUUUCUUUUUAUAUUUAGGAAAAUUAAUAAUUCGAAGUAGCUGCCAUUUUAGUUGUGUUUAAAAUUGAUUGUCUUAAAAAUUUGGAAAAUAUAUGGGAAAAUUUUCAAAAUGAUAAAAGGGAUAAUGUAGACUGACACGUUUAAACAUGUGAACUCAUUAGUCGCCAAUUAUUUGAAACGCACGGCCAGGGGAUGCCGGGUGAUUAAACACGUGAGUAGAAAACUUUUCAGGUCACUGGCUUUUUCUGAGCCGACCACAAAUUAAAGCAAAAUUGGAGUCAAGGUCUUGCAGACAAGGAAAAGAAGACGUGUGUGUACUGCGAGUUCACAUUUGAGGGUUGACUGACAAAUUUGUCCCUUGUCAAGCUCGUCAAAGAAGCACCUAUAAAUUUCACUUGAGAAUAUAUAUAUUUUAUAUUUAUCCAAAGUGAAGGAUUUAAUUAAACAAAAUUCAGUCUCACGAAUGUUAAUAUACCGAAAAAAGUUAUACAAAAACCACUAUCAAAAUUUUGGAUAAUCUUGAGAAAUUUUAAAAUUUGUUCUUAAUUAACAAAGAAUUACGCCCAAUACCAUAUUUCGCCAAAUCUCAAAGGAAAAUUUUCCACUUUUCCGGUACAAUAUUUUCUAUAAUUUACGGUAAUUAUUAAUUGGUAAUGCCAAUGGUUUUUUACACUAAACAAUAUUUUCAGACCCAAGUCAUACACAAUGCUAAAACCAAAGUAAAUAUUUUUUUUUCAUUUGUACAGAAAAAAUAUAAAUUACCAAGUUCAUCAAUACUUAUUUCAUUUAUCAUCAUCCGAAUCUAUAUUUGCAUCAUCAAUUGUCGAUCUACAAAAGAGAAAUCAAAGAUGUUAAAAAUAUUUCUAAUAAUAAGAUAAAAAUUAAAUAUAAAGACUAGUACCUAGGUGUUUGAAUUAAAAAUAAUAAUCAUUAAAAAAUAUUACCUUUCAAGUAGUACAUAAUUUUAUUGUGUAUUAUAUACUACGUUAAUGAUGUAUUCCAAAUAGAUGAAACUCAUUCCCAAGUUGUGUCCAAUAUGGUGAUAUCCUUGUGUCUUACAAUUCCCAUAGGAUGCUAGAGCCAUAUGGAAGCAUAUAGAAGAUUGAUUGGUCGUGAUUAUUAACACUUUUGAAGGUUUAUUCUAUAUACAUGAUCAGCUGAACUUGUUCUCUUUAAUUUUCAUAAAUGCAUUGACACAGUUUUUACUUUUUGAUCAUUGGAUAUCCCUGACUUUAAGUUCAUCGAAUUCUAAACUAGGGAAUGCUGUUUGACUUACAACCAUAAUAGUUAGGAAGGUUAUAACUAGAUGGUCACAAUGGUUUUCAAUCACCGAUUGCUUUCUUACGGAACAGAAAAGAAAGGAAAGAUCAUAACUUCUCCCUCACCACCUUGUGUUAAUUGUCACUACUUAUUGUGGUUUAUUUUAUUUUUCAAAUCACAUUUGGUGACGGUUUCCAAUUCCACCAGCCGCAGAAAUCAAGUUGUAAUUCUAUUGUUUACAGAAUUUCAUUUCUGUUUACCAUUCAUCCUUGUAAUAUCAUAACAAGCAAUGUCAUACUUUUUACUUUUCAUAUUCUCAAAGUUCUUCAAAUCUUUUUAUUUCAAAUUGAAUGAAACAUUAAUUCUCAUUGGAUAAUCAACAUAUACUUGUCUUAGAGUCCUCAGGUGGACAACUUUUGGGGUUUUGGGUCCUCAUUUGUUGUACUAGUUGGUUCUUGAGGUAAAUAAAUCCAGGAUUCCUGAUAUUGAACAUUCAAUUUUCAUGUCUGAAACUUCCAAUAUCCAAAUUCACUCAUGCAAUACAACUACUCUAUUUUAAAUCAACUAGAUGGUUUCAGAUACAGAUUUUGUAUUUCCAACAUAAAAAAUCAUGCAAGCUUUUGAUACCCAAAAGACCAUGAUUGGAUUUUUUCUUCUCCCCUCCUCUCCCCUGUAUUGUCAAGUCAUCCAUAAAUUUUCUGCAAUGUCAGACUGUGCAAAAGGUAAUUUUAUCAGUGUAAGUGCUUGCAUUGUUCAUUUCUUCAGACAGCCAUUUACUGUGUCCAACAAUUCAUGCUGUGUUCACUAAUUAAAGCAACUACGGGUCAAGGUCAUUUUAAGUCGGGAAAAUGACUAGGGUGGUGUGAAUUCACACAUGAAACUUAAUUGGCAUAUUUGUCACUCGGCAAGCUCAAUGGACCCCUUUCAAAUUCACUUUAGAAUCUUUAUUUAUUCUUUAACCAAAGAUAAGGAUUUAAAUACAAAAAAUUCAGCCUCACGAAAGUUAUACAAAAAGCUAUUAAUGAAAUACAUUCAAGAUUAACAAUCACAUUGAUCAAUCAAAUACAUGCAUUGUUUCAUAAGUUCUGAUAUGGAAAUUUCUUCAACAACAGGUUUUCCCAAUGGUGAUUUCCCUGUGAGAAAUUCUUGAGAUACGCGUUGCAUGGUAGGUCGAGACUUGGGUUUUGACUGCAAGCAUGCAAAUGCAACUAUUGAAACAAGAAUAAUAACCUGAACAACCUUUUGAUCAAGUGGAGAUGGCAGACGUUGGUCUAAAAUAUCUAUCAACCUAAUCUUUCGUUCAGAUGAUGACGAUAAAGAUGAAAGAAGAUCUCCUGGAUGACUUCCCAUUAAUACUUCUAGUGCCACCACUCCAAAGCUAUAAACAUCACAUUUCUCUGUCACAGCCAUGGUGUAUGCAAGUUCUACAACAAAAUAGAACCCAUUGUAGAAUUUCUUUGCACAAGCAAAAAACAAAAUAUAUAUAUAUUUGAUUCACUGUUUCUGGAAGCUUCUGCAGCAAGAUAUUUAAGAGAUAUCUAAUUGAUUUUUAAAUACAUUCAAUGUGUAAACAUGAGUAAGAAGCAUGAAAAGAAUAGCUAAAGUUUACCUGGAGCAAUAUAUCCAUAUGUCCCCACCACUAGAGUUCUGUUGGAGGAAUCUGGAUGCAGGAGCCUAGCCAAACCAAAAUCAGCAACAAAUGCCUCUAGGUUUGAGUUAAGUAGAAUGUUAUUGCUGGAUAUGUCGCGGUGAACAAUUGAUGGCUUGCAGUCAUAAUGCAGGUAAGACAAAGCAUGAGCCAUACUCUUUACAAUGUUCACUCUCUUUGUCCAAUCCAGCUCAACAGCUUCAACGUCAUUGCGUAACACACAGAACAAGCUUCCCCGCUCCAUGUACUCAUAGAUCAAAAACAUGCACUUGUUGUGCAAACAAAAACCAUAAAGCUUCACUAUAUUACGAUGCCGUAUUUGGGAGAGUAGACGAGCUUCAGUUUGGAAACUUUCCAGGAAAGCUGGCUCCUCUGUCUCCGAACGGUGAAGUUUCUUCAAAGCGACUACUCUUCCACUGGACAAUUGUGCUCUGUAAACACUGCCAUAACCUCCGGUUCCAAUGCAAUAUUUGAUGUGGAAAUCCUCUGUCGCUUGAAUCAUCUCUUCAAAUGUAAUUCUACCAUCAUAAUUCCAUAUGGAGAACUCAUUAGCCCCCUCGGUCAUUUCUCGGGUAUUAGGAUUAAAUUUCUUAUCCUUUCGUCUAUGGACAAACAAGAUACCAAAAAUUAAGAUUGCGAAAAUAAAUGCCACCAUAGCGAGAAUGAUUGUGACCAAGCGAGUGACGAUCUUUUGCUGCUUCCCUUUGUUGCCCUUAAACUGUUUUGCUUGGGGUGGCGGUGCAUUUUCUGAACCAGUUGAGUUUUCUAACUCUAGAUUAUUUUCUGACACUAUCAAUUUGGGAAUUCUUCUGACAGAUGCAGGGAUAACGCCGGAGAGGUUAUUCUUGGAAAGAUCCACGGCAGAAAUGUUUGGAAUUUUUCCGAGUUGUGAAGGUAUCGUGCCAUUUAUGAAGUUACGGCUUAAAUCAAGUUGUCUCAAAAAUAUAAGGUUGCCUAUCUCCGAUGGAAUGCUUCCGCUUAAACUGUUGUGGCUUAAUACCAAGUUCAGUAACUGCGAGCAAUUCAUGAGUUCUGGAGGAAUGGAGCUGCUGAGCUGAUUAUAACCAAGAUUUAAAGAGGUGAGGUUGGUUAAAUAACCAAUUGUUGGAGGAAUGGGUCCAAUUAGAUUGUUCCCGUCAAGGGACAGAGAAUCAAGAUACUUCAGAUUUCCAACUUCCCGAGGCAGCAGACCACUAAGUUGGUUUGAAGAAAGAUCCAGAGAUGUUAAUUUGGUUAAAUUUCCUAUGGUCGGUAGAAUUGGACCAUUAAGUCUGUUGUGAGACAAGUCCAACUCAUCCAACAAGUUUAAAUAACCAAUGGUCGAAGGAAUAGAUCCAGUGAGAUUGUUCCUAUUCAGAAGCAAACGAUCAAGAUUCUUCAGAUUUCCAACUUCUUUAGACAGUGGACCAACAAGAUUGUUGUAAGCCAAGUACAAAAUGCUUAACUGAUUUAAAUGAUAAAGUGUUGAAGGAAUAGGCCCAGUUAGAUGGUUAUUAUCCAGAAACAGAGCGUCAAGAUUCUUCAGAUUUCCAACUUCUUGAGGCAGCCGACCACUAAGUUGGUUUAAAGAAAGGUCCAAAUGUGUCAAGUUAGUUAAAUUACCUAUGCUCGAUGGAAUUAGACCAUCCAGUUUGUUACCCUGCAACCUCAGUUCAUCAAGAUCCUUCAAAUUCCCAAAUUCUAAUGGGAUAGAACCAUUGAGAAUGUUAUUAGACAGAUCCAGUUUGAGAAGAUUCCUCAAACUCCCAAUCUCCGCGGGGAUAGUACCUAUCGUGUGUAUAUAUAUGCAUAUGAUUAAUUAACGAUAAAUAAGCAAUAAUAUCCGGUACAGAUAGGAAAUUAUUGUAUAUGCAAUGAAAUUAUAUAUAAUGGUUACCUGUAAGACUGUUAUCGGACAGGAAAAGCUCCUCGAGUUUUGAAAGAGCACCAAUUUCUGAUGGCAUCCUUCCUGAAGAAAAAAAGGAAAACAAAAAUAAUGUGUAUGAUUAAUUAAUGAUAAAUGAGCAAUAUUAUCCAGCACCGAUAGGAAAUUAUUGUAUAUGCAAUGAAAUUAUAUAUAAUGGUUACCUGUAAGACUGUUAUAGGACAAGUGAAGCUCCUCGAGUUUUGAAAGAGCACCAAUUUCUGAUGGCAUCCUUCCUAACGAAAAAAAGGAAAAAAAAUAAUGUGUAUGAUUAAUUAAGGAUAAAUGAGCAAUAUUAUCCAGUACGGCUAGGAAAAUAAUGUGUAUGCAUUGAAAUUAUAUAUAAUAGUUACCUGUAAGACGGUUAGAGGACAGGUCAAGCACUUUGAGUCUUGAAAGAGCACCAAUUUCUGAUGGUAUCCUUCCGGAAAGAAGAGUGCCCCGAAUGCUGAAAGUUACGAGGUUGGGAAAGCAAGUGAAGUUGAGUUGGCUAAGCUCUGCUCCGGUGAAAUUAUUAUCCAUCUCGUCAGAACUUAUCCAGACUACGCUUCCUGCUGAAUUGCAAGUGAUUCCUAUCCACUUGCAAUGAUCUGAAGUAUAGUUGGCCGUCGCCCGACUGCUAUUCCACCAGCCUGAAUUAAGUAAAGCUUCCCUUUCUAACUGUAUGGCUGACGAUGCAGCAGAUGCUGUUACAACUGCAUUAUCAGUUAUAACAGGAACAAUAAUACUGCUUAUAAAAGUUAUAAUGACCACCAAUUUUGAAAUGGAGGAAUCCGGUGCCAUUUUUAUAAGUUUUUGGUUGAUUAGAUUCAGCCAGUGCGUGCCUGCUUUUAUAACCAAACAUUAAGUUUGACGGCAACACUCAAUCAUUUUUAGCCCGCGUUGAGCUUUCUCCCUCAUCGUCAAAAUUGGCAUACGCGUUAUCAAACACGAGGGUCAGUUGAGUUAAUGUCUUUUUAGGCCACUAAUUCCUAUUUCUAAUUAAUUUCGCAAAUUAAAGGCUACAUGUGAUUCAUUAAUUUUGUUGGCAUACGCGUUCUAAAUAGAUGAAAGUCACUCCCAAGUAGUGUAUGAUAUGCCGAUAUCCAUGUGUCUUAUAACUUUACUGAAAUAAAUUUUGGGGAGUUUAAGUAUCUUUUUCUUUUAUAUUGAUGAGAAUUAAUAAUUCAAACUAGCUGUCAUUUUAGUUGUGUUUAAAAUUAAUUGUCUUAAGAAUUUGGAAAAUAUAUGGAAUGCCGUGUGAUUAAACACGUGAGUAGAAAACUUUUCAGGUCACUGGCUUUUUCUGAGGCGACCAUAAAUUAAAGCAAAAUUGGAGUCAAGGUCUUGUAGACAAGGAAAAGAAGACGCGUGUACUGCGAGUUCACAUUUGAGGGUUGAUUGACAUAUUUGUCCCUUAUCAUGCUCGUCAAAGAAACACCUAUAAAUUUCACUUGAGAAUAUAUAUAUUUUAUAUUUAUCCAAAGUAAAGGAUUUAAUUCAACAAAAUUCAGUCUCACGAAUAUUAAUAUACGGAAAAAAGUUAUACAAAAACCACUAUCAAAAUUUUGGAUAAUCUUGAGAAAUUUUAAAAUUUUUUCUUAAUUAACAAAGAAUUAUUCCCAAUACCAUAUUUCGCCAAAUCUCAAAAGGAAAAUUUUCCACUUUUUCAGUACAAUAUUUUCUAUAAUUUACGGUAAUUAUCUAUUGAUAAUGCCAAUGGUUUUUUACACUAAACAAUAUUUUCAGACCCAAGUCAUACACAAUGCUAAAACGAAAGUAAAUAUUUUUUUUUCAUUCGUACGGAAAAAUAUAAAAUACCAAGUUUAUCAAUACUUAUAUCAUUUAUCAUCAUCCGAAGCUGUAUUUGCAUCAUCAAUUGUCAAUCUACAAAAGAGAAAUCAAAGAUGUUAAAAAUAUUUCUAAUAAUAAAAUAAAUAAUUAAAUAUAAAGACUAGAAUCUAGGUGUUUGAAUUAAAAAAAAAUUAUUAAAAAAAAUUACCUUUCAAGUAGUACAUAAUUUUGUUGUAUAUUAUAUACUAAUACUACGUUAAUGAUGUAUUCUAAAUAGUUGAAGUUCACUCUCAAAUGGUGUUUGAUAUCUACAUCUGAAUGACACGCAUGAACCUUGCCUUGCAGCGUAACCUCGUGAUUGCAUUUUGCUGGAUAUUUUAAAAUAAAUUAAUUUCGUUGUCUAUUAUAUACUAUAUUAAUAGAUGAAACUCACUCUCAAGUAGUGUCCAAUACGGCGAUGUCCAUGUGCCUUACAAUUUCACUGAAACAAAUUUUGGGGAGGUUUUAAGUUCCUUUUUCGUUUAUAUUUAUAUUUAUGAGAAUUAAUAAUUCUAACCAGCUGUCAUUUUAGUUGUGUUUAAAAUUUGAUGUUUCAAAAAUCUGGAAAAAUAGAUGGAAGAAUUUUCAGAUGAUACCCCCCGUCAAAGGGAUAAUGUAGACUGACACGUUUAAACAUUUGAACUCGUCAGUCGCCAAUUACCUGAAACCCACGGCCACGUCUAUUAGACAAUUUAAAAAAAAAAAAUUGUGUACUGCAGAUACUAAUGAAAUUCAAAGGACCACCAAUUAAUUCAGGUUAGAAAAGUUUUUUUUUUUUUUAAAUUACAAGACAAGGAUUUAAUCAAACAAAAUUCAGUCUGAAAAAAAUUAUACAAACUACUAUCAGCAAAAUACAUUCAAGAUUAACAAUCACAUUAAUUUUAAUCUAGCAUCUUUUUCUUUUUCCUCCUUUCUCUUUUUCCGUCUUUACUUUUUAGUCCGCUUUCCUUUCUCCAAAUUACUUUUCUUCAUUUUCCACAGAACACAUAAAAAAAUUGGACCAUCUUGAGAGUCCAGAAAUAUUAAAUUUUUGGAAUCCACAAAAAAUUAAAUAUUUUUGUCAUAAUGUUGUAGACUUUUGUUCUUCUAUCAUUUUCACAAAUUUAUUGAGAAGGCCAAGUACCACCAUAUUUAAUCAAAAGUCAUAAAGAAUUUUUUUAUAUAUUUUAUUAUGCAAAAAGGACUACUGUUCCUAAAAAUUUAACCGAGUGACUUUUUAAUUAUUUUAUUUAACUGAUUAUCCAAGUUCGAAUAUUUCUAGAUGACUCUUAACCCUAAAACCAGAUGUGGGCUAUUCACAUCCCCCAUCUGUCCAUUGAAAAGGGCAAAUUUUGUUUUCAACUAAGCAGCCCCUUUGUGGCUUGUAUCGAUGUACGUUUAACAUUGUCGCUCUAAUUUGAUCCUAAUAUGCGCUAAUGCAAAACGAUAUGCAUUGGAACUCUGUGAACUUACAGUAACAAUUUGUUUAAACUUAUGCAGACUACUUAACUAACCAGUCAAAUAGAGUGUCAAAUAAAAUUUUAAUAUUUGGUUAAGAGACCAAAAGAGUUCAUAAAUAUUGUUUUUUUUUUACCAAUUAAGAAGAUUAAAAUGAAUGGCAUAUUUUGCACAGAAUUAAUAUGCUUAUUCAAAUUUAACAAUAUAGUGGGCUUUUUCAAAUUUCAAAUGUGUAGAUGGGGCUAAAUGCCUAAACCACAACUUUCCUUAUUAUUUUCAUUGAAUCAUCAGAGCUCUGAACAAAUUUGAAAAUAUUUUCUGAGUCUCUUCUUCAUCAUUUAGUUUAUACUUCAACUGACCAUUAGAAGCCAUUCAGUUUCUGUACGAUCAUGCAAAAGGGUUAGAAAGUAAUUACAAUCAAUAUUUGUGUACUUCAGAAUUUGAACCUUAAUGAGCAAUUAACCAAGAGUUGUUAAUUUCUCUUCCUUUCCAAAAUUCUGUUAGAAUUGUCAAUUGUUACGGCAUAUGGGUGUAAAGAUUUUCUGAUAAUAAAAGUUAAAAUUAUGGGGUGGGUUUUUAUAAGAAUUUUGGAGGGGUGUAAGAAGCCCCACUCUAGUCAUAAAUGAAGCCAUGACUUGGAGUAAUGGAAUACAGAGCCCAUUAACCCUAAAGGCCUUAAACUAACCCAAGAUGCUUUAAAGUGAUAAUUAAGAUGUGAGACAAGCUCGCUCUAUCACUAAAGCAUGUUUGGUUUAUUAUACGUUGUAAGCCCAUCAAUUUUUGAAGUUGUUUACUAUUGCAUUUCAUCUAAAACCUGUAUUUGGUUUAUUAUACGUUGUUUUCAAAGUCGUUGACAAUCAACGGGGCAAUACCGAAAUAGAUAGUCCUAGCCGCCUAGGCGCGCGCGCGCAAAAGAAAAAAAAAGGAUAAUGUAUUACAAAAUCACUGAUGCAUGGAAGAUCCUAGUUUUGUAGUGAGAGUAAAAGAAUUGAGCUUGAAACUAUUUUUUUGUUGAUAUUUUUAAUGAAACGCUUCGAAGAAAACAUAGAUGGAGGGAAGCAAAAUGGUUGAAGUAAGCAAGCUGUGUAGUGAGAACUGGAGGCACAUCAAGCAUGAAUAGAAUGUGUGUGUGUGUUAAUAAAGCGAGGAUUGAUUCAGGCUAGCAAAAGUAUUCUUCAUAGUCAUUGUCAGUGUAGUGUAGUAUGCCUUUAUUCUUAACUAGAUUUUAGUCCUUAUCUCCCCCAAGAUUCAACCGCAGGUGGCUAGUUAUAGAAAGUUAUUUAAAAAUCACUCAGACAAACUUCUAGUGAUAAUUGAACUUAAAUUUAACUUUAAUAUCUUAUUAGAAAAGUUCAAUACGGCUUUAAUAGAGUGGAAAACGUUUAUUUUCCCCCAGGAAAAAUGUAUAAUAAGUUCUUUUACAUAGACUCCAUAACCAAAUUAGACAAGUAAAUAAUCAAUUACGGAAUUAAGAGCUUGGUUUAACAAGGUCAGCAUGAAGAAACUACAAAUUUGAGGCUAAAAAUCUAGAAAUGGAGGCCAAAACAUAAGAUUUUCAAAGAAUGACCAGAUUUCAAUUAGAUCCCAGGGAACAUUAACCCAGUUUACUGCUUAUUGUAGACCUCUUUGUUUACAUGAAUUAAUGUUUAAUAGCCUUUAGGAUCUCAAGCCUGACCCUUACAACUACAUAUGAAUUCAUUUAAUUAACAAUCUGUACGUAUUAGCAGCUAGUGAAGUAGAAAAUGCCCGUGACUAGUGCUUUAGUUUCUUUAAAAUCCGGAGACAAAGAGUUGUUCUGAGUAUUUUAUAAUUUUUUUUUUUUCACAUGAGACACCAUUCAAGACAAUGUCCAUGUGGUGUGAAGGCCAAAAUCCCCCGUGAACCUGGCAAUUAUUGUCUUUUUUAGCAUUUUAAUAUAAUCAGUUUGUAUUUAAAUUACUAUUUGAUCGAUUAAAAUUUGAAUAAUUUUACAGCUACCCUAACACAGGAGUGUUUGAAAUAUUUGGUAAUCAAGUUAUACCAAGUGCAGCUCAAGUUCUUACAUUAAUCAAGUGAGCAGAAUUUCUGUGCAGAAGGGGCAUCUUUGGGAAUUAAACUGUACUGCAUGAGAUCGAAUUAAUUUUCGAACCAUACAUCAUUGGAAAGAUAUUUCUGUUAGCUUUCCAAUGAAUUUUACUAAUCUAAAUUUGGAGUUUUCUACAGUAAGUUAUGAUCAGUUAAGUGCAGACUGUUCAGUUUUGAGUCAAGAAGAAUAUUUCGGGACUUAGAUUUUUUUAAUGUUCUUUGUUGUGUUUUAAGCAUACCAAUGUUUUAUUAAUGUCUAGCUUUAAUGUUGGUCUUUAAAGUCAAGUUAUUUGAAGGGUUUCUUUGUAGUAAAUCUAUGCUUGGAGGAUUGUUCCAAGAAAGUUAUUUAAGCUUAUGUAGUUGUAACAAAAAGACAGAGAUUAAUUUUGGAAAUUGAAUGAACUUUGAGCUAUUAUCAAACUCUGUAUCUCUUUGGUGGAUUCCAUUGAGUGGUGAGUGUUUUAAGCUCUGUAUCCGUAGCUUAACAACUUUAGGUGGUGAAUAUUUUUCUGUAUCCUUUUGUUGUUUGCUGUGGUGGUGAGCUUGUGAUUUCUUGAGUGUGUGACGUUGUGCUUUCUCAUCUAUUGUGUCCGGUGUCAAAUUUGGUAUCAGAGCAUUGGGUUCUGAAAUUUAUGGCUCAACGACGUCAGCGUAAUGCAAGAGUUGCAGAGCCUCCUGUUCGUGAGAGGGACUUGGGUGAUAUAGAAAGGGAUGAUCUUAGAAGACAAGUAGAACAUCUUCAGCAACGAUUACAACACCUUGAAGGAACUCAAGAAGCUGCUCCUAAUGGUAGUUCAGAAGAAGAAGGCUCAAUCAAUGACGGGGUAGAUUAUAAUCCCUUCCAUCAGGAACAAAGCUCCAAUAGUGAAUUUUCUUCUCGUUCUCGAAUUCAUAGGCAUCGCGAUUCUUAUCAGCCUUUCGACUUCAAGGUCGAAAUUCCUGAAUUUGAAGGAAGAAUGCAACCAGACGAGUUUGUUGAUUGGCUUAAUACUGUUGAACGCAUUUUUGAAUACAGAGAUGUGCCUGAAGAUCGCAAAGUGAAACUCAUUGCCAUUAAACUUAAAAAGUAUAUGCUUCUUUAUGGUGGGAAAAUCUUAAGAGGCAAAGGGAACGAGAGGGACGGAGGAAAAUUGUUACUUGGGAGAAAAUGAAAAAAGAGCUUAAGAGAAAGUUUUUGCCCGAUAACUACAGGCAAGAUAUCUACCUUAAGUUCCACAACUUCAGGCAAAAGGAAUUGUCAGUGGAAGACUAUACAGCAGAGUUCGACAACCUAAUGAUGAAGUGUGAUUUGGUAGAGGCGGAAGAGCAUACGAUUGCACGCUAUCUGGGUGGUUUGAAACCUGAGAUUGGUAAUGUGGUCCAGCUCCAACCAUAUUGGACUUAUAGUGAUGUAUGCAGACUUGCUCUUAAGGUGGAAAAGCAACAAAAAGAUGCUCGUGGUGGGGGUAUUCGGUUUACAGUUCGUGAUGUCAAUCGAGGGAGUGGCUCCGUUUCUAAGCAUAAUUCUGGUUCGAAUUCUACUGCAAAGAAAAUUACGAGGAAUGAUAUUGGGGAAGGAUCUAAACAGCGAGCAAGUGGUUCGAAUGCUAGUUCUCGUCAAUGUUUUAAAUGCCAUGGUUAUGGGCACAUUGCUUCUGAGUGUCCUAAUCGUAGGGUGGUUGCCCUUGUUGAAGAGGAAAGCGAUGACGAGGAUGCGGAAGAUCAUGAGAAUCCUAGUGUCGAAAAGGGUGUUGAAGAUGGAGAAGUUACAUAUGCUGAUGAUGGAAACUCUCUAGUUAUUCAAAAGAGUUUGAGUAUUGUUUGUGAAUAUGGGGAAGAUUGGCUGAGAAAGAAUAUCUUUCACACCAGAUGCACUUGUCAUGGAAAGAUAUGUAAUGUCAUUAUUGAUAGUGGUAGUUUUGAGAAUGUGGUAGCAACUGAAAUGGUGAAGAAGUUGAAGCUCAAAACGGAGCAGCAUCCUUAGCCUUAUAAACUUUCUUGGCUUAAAAAGGGAAAUGAGAUUGAGGUAAACACACGUUGCCUUAUUUCAUUUUCUAUUGGGAAUAAAUAUAAAGAUGAAGUUUGGUGCGAUGUUGUCCCUAUGGAUGCAUGUCACUUGCUUUUAGGUCGUCCUUGGCAGUACGAUAGAAGGGUUGUUCAUGAUGGUUAUAGGAAUACUUAUACUUUCAUUAAAGAUGGAAGUAAAGUCAUUAUUGGUCCUUCAAAGGAAGAGAAAAGUCCCAAACCUAUUAAAGGAGUGGAAAACAAUUUGCUGAAUGUUUCAGAUUGUAAAAAAGAAUUUGAAAUGGGUAGUGAAGUUUACGUGCUGGUGGUGUUUGAGGAAAAUGAAGAUAGCAAUGAGCCGCCUCUGAUUAUGAAGUAUUUGCUUGAAGAAUUCUCAGAUGUUGUUCCAGAAGAAUUACCACAUGGCCUUCCUCCCAUGAGGGACAUUCAACAUUGCAUUGAUCUUAUUCCGGGUUCUGUACUACCAAAUAAAGCGGCUUAUCGAAUGAAUCCAAAGGAGCACGAAGAAUUAUAGAGGCAAGUUGAAGAGCUUAUAGGGAAAGGGUUGGUGAGAGAUAGCAAAAGUCCUUGUGCUGUUCCUGCCUUAUUGGUACCAAAGAAAGAUGGGUCUUGGCGUAUGUGUGUUGACAGCAGAGCAGUGAAUAAGAUAACGAUUGAUUAUCGUUUCCCUAUUCCACGCCUUGACGAUCUUCUAGACCAGCUCUAUGGUGCUACAAUCUUUUCUAAGAUCGAUCUUCGAAGUGGCUAUCAUCAAAUCAGAAUGAGACCUGGUGACGAAUGGAAAACGGCCUUCAAAACGAGGGAUGGACUUUAUGAAUGGAUGGUUAUGCCAUUUGGUCUAUCUAAUGCCCCAAGCACUUUCAUGCGGUUGAUGAAUCACGUUUUUAAGCCUCUGAUUGGUAGAUUUGUUGUUGUGUAUUUUAAUGAUAUCCUUGUGUACAACCAAAAUGAAAAACAACACUUGGAGCAUCUUUGCCAAGUCUUCGAGAUUUUGAGAAAUCAAAAGCUUUAUGUCAACUUGAAAAAGUGCAGGUUCUUCACAUAUAGCCUUGUCUUUUUGGGUUAUGUUGUAUCGAAAGAUGGAAUUAAAAUGGAUCCAAGCAAGGUGGAGGCCAUUUUGAGCUGGCCAAUUCCUAAGUCGCUACAUGACAUCUGAAGUUUUCAUGGUCUUGCUUCUUUUUAUCGACGAUUUAUUAGAGGGUUCAGUAUAAUUGUUGCUCCAGUAACUGAAUGCUUGAAAGGAGAAGGUUUCAAAUGGACCAAGGAGGCACAAGAGAGUUUUGACAUCAUCAAGAGAAAGGUGACUGAAGCGCCUGUUCUUUCACUUCCAGAUUUCAGCAAGGUGUUUGAAGUUGAGUGUGAUGCCUCUAAUACUGGAAUUGGUGCUGUACUCAGCCAAGAAAGGAAACCAGUUGCUUUCUUUAGUGAAAAAUUGAAUGACUCCCGCAGAAAGUACUCAACUUAUGACAAAGAAUUGUAUGCUAUUUGCCGAGCUUUGAACCAUUGGAGUCAAUAUUUGCUUUCAAGGCCAUUUAUUCUCUUCUCUGACCAUGAGGCACUAAAGUUUAUCAAUAGUCAGCAGAAGCUUAGUAGAAAACAUGCCGGAUGGGUGGAAUUUCUUCAAGCUUACAAUUUUACCAUCAAGCAUAAAUCGGGUGCUCAGAAUGUUGUGGCUGAUGCUUUAAGUCGAAAACAUUCAUUGCUUUCUUCUAUGCAAGUGAAGGUUGUAGGCUUUGAAAUUUUGAAAGAGCUAUACAAGGAUGAUUCUUUCUUUGGCAGGAUUUGGAGAGAAUGUGAGAAUGGAUCAUAUGAUCAGUACCAAUUACAUGAUGGCUUUCUUUUCAAGGGGAAUCGUUUAUGUAUUCCUCAGUGUUCUUUGCGGGAAUCUAUUAUCAUGGAGGCACAUGGCAGUGCUGUUGGAGGUCACUUUGGAAGGGAUAAGACGUUAGCUUGCUUGCAAGGUAAUUUCUAUUGGCCAAAGAUGGAUAAAGAUGUUGUGCAUCAUGUGCAGAGGUGUAAAAUCUGUCAUAUUGCCAAAGCUCAUGGUCAAAACACAGGCCUAUACAAUCCUUUACCAGUCCCUGAAGCUCCUUGGGAAGAUGUUAGUCUAGACUUUGUUGUUGGGUUGCCAAGAACUCAAAGAAAUAAAGACUCUGUCAUGGUGGUGGUUGACCAAUUCUCAAAAAUGGCUCAUUUUGUUCCGUGUAACAAGACAUUGGAUGCCUCUCAUGUGGCUGAUUUGUACUUCAAGGAGAUUGUGAAGCUACAUGGAAUUCCGAAAACCAUUGUCUCUGAUCGGGAUUCAAAGUUUUUGAGUCACUUUUGGCGUACUCUUUGGAAGAAGUUGGGAACCACUCUUAAAUUCAGCUCUUCUCAUCAUCCUCAAACUGACGGUCAGACUAAAGUGAUGAAUCGAAGCUUGGGAAAUCUCUUGAGACGUUAUGUGGGCAAGAACAUUCGUCAAUGGGAUCUUAUUUUGCCUCAGAUUGAAUUUGCUUACAAUCACUCCAUACAUCAAACUACUGGUUCAAGUCCCUUUGAAGUAGUUUAUGGCAAGAAUCCAAUCAGUCCUUUGGAUUUGGCUCCACUUUUGACCGAUCAUCAAUUUAGUGGAGAGGCUGAAGAACGCUCUAAAAGUAUCAAGAAGAUGCAUGAACAGGUUCGAGAUAGAAUAUUGAAGCAAAAUGAGAAGUAUAAAAAAUCUGCAGACAAGCAUCGAAGACAUGCUAAGUUUCAGGAAGGAGAUUUGGUUUGGGUUCAUCUUAGGAAAGAUCGUUUUCCACCUGGGAAAUUUGCUAAACUUAGACCAAGGGCUGAUGGACCAUUUAAAGUGUUGCAACGCAUUGGUGAUAAUGCUUACAAGAUUGAGCUACCAGAUGGCUAUGGUGUUUCGUCAACGUUCAACAUAUCAGACUUGUCUCCUUAUCAUGAAGAAAAUGAUCAAAACUCGAGGUCGAAUUUUUUUCAACUAGGGGAGAUUAACACAGGAGUGUUUGAAAUAUUUGGUAAUCAAGUUAUACCAAGUGCAGCUCAAGUUCUUACAUUAAUCAAGUGAGCAGAAUUUCUGUGCAGAAGGGGCAUCUUUGGGAAUUAAACUGUACUGCAUGAGAUCGAAUUAAUUUUCGAGCCAUACAUCAUUGGAAAUAUAUUUCUGUUAGCUUUCCAAUGAAUUUUACUAAUCUAAAUUUGGAGUUUUCUACAGUAAGUUAUGAUCAGUUAAGUGCAGACUGUUCAGUUUUGAGUCAAGAAGAAUAUUUCGGGACUUAGAUUUUUUUUAAUGUUCUUUGUUGUGUUUUAAGCAUACCAAUGUUUUAUUAAUGUCUAGCUUUAAUGUUGGUCUUUAAAGUCAAGUUAUUUGAAGGGUUUCUUUGUAGUAAAUCUAUGCUUGGAGGAUUGUUCCAAGAAAGUUAUUUAAGCUUAUGUAGUUGUAACAAAAAGACACAGAUUAAUUUUGGAAAUUGAAUGAACUUUGAGCUAUUAUCAAACUCUGUAUCUCUUUGGUGGAUUCCAUUGAGUGGUGAGUGUUUUAAGCUCUGUAUCCGUAGCUUAACAACUUUAGGUGGUGAAUAUUUUUCUGUAUCCUUUUGUUGUUUGCUGUGGUGGUGAGCUUGUGAUUUCUUGAGUGUGUGACGUUGUGCUUUCUCAUCUAUUGUGUCCGGUGUCAUACCCACGUAUUUUUUAACCACAAUUCCCAGCUUCCCUUUUAUAUAUGUCGGCAUCAGCUGAUCAGCAUGAAUUAAGAGUUCAUAACCAAACUGAAAUAGAUAUCCAAAGUUUAGUGUUACUGAGAAAUAUGAGUUCUAGGAUUUAUUUUAUGCUCGUCGCGAUAUUUACUGUCGCUGGAGUUUUUCAAUUUUCCGGCCAAGUUUCCGGCGCACAACACUGUGGAAUGAAUACAAAUGUUCUGGGCCAGCUUGUAUCACAAUGUGAGAAAUAUGUGUUGAAAUCGGGGCCGAAGAUUCGGCCAUCUCCUGGUUGUUGUGCGGUUGUGAAGAAGGUUGAUGUGCCAUGUGUGUGCAAGUUUGUGACAAAGCAGAUUGAAGAAAUUAUAAGCAUUGAGAAGAUGGUUUAUGUGGCCAGGUCAUGUGGCAUAAAGAUUUCUGCUGGGACAAAAUGUGGAAGUAAGUAAAGAACAGUACUCGUGCAAUUAUCAAUAAAUUCUAUUAAGAAUGAUAAUGCACUUCUCAAACAGUAUCUCGACUUUAUUUCUCAUAAGUGAUGCGGCAUCUAUCUGUAAAAUAAUAAUAUGAACUAAUAAGUAAUCUUAUAGGUUCAUGAAAUUGGCAUUCAAUUGAUGGUCAUAUAUCAUCUCAGUAUUUGCGAUGAAUAUACUGAAAACUACUUAGGAAGUGCAGCAUUAUUCUUUCAUUAAUUUUGAUUUACAUUCACACAAAUUGUUAAAGGUCAGUUUUCUUUGUGGUUCUUCGAAGAAAGAAAUUUUAGUUUGUGACUAUGUUAGUUUUUUAUUUCUGUAAUAACACUCGAUCUCUUACUAAAAUUUAUUGAAGAAUGCAAGAGAGAUUUGAGAAAUUUUCUCCUGUAAUGGACGUCAAAUUAAGUCCAAUAUGGUGAAGAAUAAAUUUGCUAAUGCUGUGUUGUAAUUAAUUGUCUUAGGCUUCACUGUCCGAUCUGCUUGAAAAUGGGAGUGCAUGAAUGUCUGAAGCACUGGGAGGCAGCUAGGUUUUGUGACGAGUCUGUUGAUGUUAUAAGAGGCAGGUUUCAUGGUGUUGUGUUAAUGUGCUGAUCGAUUUAUAUUUACUUUCUUAUUCUAUGUUUCUUGAUUUUAAUAAUAAUAAUAAAAAUAAAAAGAGGCAAUUCUAAUCAAUUUCUUACAAAACAACGGAUUAUUUGGUCUUUUGUAUAUAUUUUGUCAAAAUUUAUCAAAGAAGCAUUCCGAUUUCCGAUAAUCCGAUUUGUGCUCUAGAGCAAUUCAAAUUGGCUUUCCAAAUACAGUGCGUGGAUGAGUUUGAAAAUCUAAAAUAAAUAAUAGAAAAAUGAAGAACAAGUAAUCCCAAAUUCAAUUUCAUCCAUUUCAGCCUCUGAUCAUAGAAAAUUCUUGAAGAACGAUCACGGUAAAAAUUUUAUAGAUAAACAAGCAAGAAUCAAAAAAUUAAAUUAAUAAUUUUAUUAAUCUAAAUUACCAAAUUAAUAAAAAAAGAUGAAAAACAAAACCAAAAUUAUUGUUAAAGGGUAUUAGUGUAAAAGCAAACAAAAAGAAAUAAAAAAUAAUCGUAGAGGUAUCAUUAAUUAAACGAGCACCAAUAUCAAAAUAUAGAGGGCAAAUGGAAUUUUACCUCUAAUAAAAUGAACUAUUACCCCAUGCGAUGUUGGAAGAAAAAUAUAAAAUAAUCGAUUAACAUUAUAGUUCAUUUUGUUGUUGUAUCAUUCUUUAGUAUAAAAUAGUCACUUGAACAAAAACCAUAAAAUUUUCCCAAAAAAUAAGAAGUGGGUACGUUUCUAUGCAUGCAUGUAGCUAUGGGAAUUGAAAAUAUAAAAGUUCAAGGGAAAUGAAUAAAUUGCUGGCAAGAGGAAUGUUAUGAUGAACAAACCUUUCAGCAAGCACAGCUGAACCCUCUUCAAACAACUCCUCCACAACCCAACAGCAGCGAGCUUGCUGAUGUUUUUUUCAUAGAAUCCUGAGCUUUCUUCACAAAGAUAAGUGAACUUGUAACCAUAAUUAACCAUAACAGAAUCAUGGUUAUAACAAAGUGGGCUUUAUAGCUUUAAAAAAUAUAAACUGAUGUGAAAAUUUAAGCUUAAUGGUAUACUAAGUUUACUAAAAAAUCUAAACAUUUAAUAUACAUGAAUUAUGGUUUUAAUACACAAAUCAUAAUAAUACAUGGAGAAAAAAUGAACCCAAUGAUUAUAGGAAAAUUAGAAAAAAAAAAUGGAUGAAACUUUUACCGGCAAAGAAAAGAACAAGUAGUCAAGUAGCCAAAACGUUGAGAACCUUCAUGUUGAAGUAUGCUUUGCUAAAAUUUAUAAGGGCUUAGAAUUUUGAGUCAGACUCUGAUGAGGAAAAUGGACAUGGUUCUAAUAGAGGAAAUGGUUGUAAAAAGGAGUCCUUUGUAGCUAGAAAAUACACAUAAAAAAAAAAAAUUGGGGUUAAGAAAUUUUCUUCCCCAUCUUCAAGAGAAUGGAGAGGAGAUUUUACUAUCUCACUGCAGCAUUCAUGGUCAUUGAUGUCACCAGUGAUUGCCAUUUCUUUUUGUUCACUUACGGCAUUAGAUGUGAGUGAAGGUUGCUGAAGUUUCGAGAGGAUAGUGGCAGUGGACGUUGUUGGUUGGUUUGCAUGGGGUUGGAUUUGAGAUGGAGGGUCUGUAUGAGAGUGGUUUGGUUUGAUUCGCGGUGAUGGCAAUUGGACAUCCGGAGGUGGUUCGUUGGUGAAUUUUGGGGGUCGUCUAAAUGAUUUCUUAGGAGGGUUCAAACUCCUGAUAAUUCGUUCAUCGGCAGAGAGGGUGUGGACCGGUGAUGGCUGGUUGCCAUCACCGGCGGCCGGAGAGGCCAUUAAGGCCGCUUAAGGCUUUUUUUUGGGGGGGGGGGGGAGGGGGGAGACGUGGAGAGGUUUUUUUCUACUCCUGCAUUUGCUGCAUGUAUGUCUAAUUGCUUCCAAAAAUCAAAUCUUUAAUGCUUCCAAAAUUGAGCUCUUUUAUGCCCUUUUUAUCCAUAAUCUCAAAUUAAUUCUCUAUUCAAUAAAAUAAUGCAAUUAAUUAAAAAUAAGAAAUAAAAAUAACUAACAAAUAUAUAAUAAAGAGUAAAAUAUGUAUAUAAAUUAUGAACAUCAUGCAUUGACACAGUUUUUACUCUUUGAUUAUUGGAUAUCCCUGACUUUAAGUUCAUCGAGUUCUAAACUAGGGAAAUUUAUACAAAAUGCUAUCAAUGAAAUACACAAAAUUCAGCCUCACGAAAGUUAUACAAAAUGCUAUCAAUGAAAUACAUUCAGGAUUAACAAUCACGUUGAUCAAUCAAAAACUUCCCUUGGUCUAUAAGUUCUGAUAUGGAAAUUUCUUGAACAUCAGGUUUUCCCAAUGGUGAUUUCCCUGAGAGAAAUUCUUGAGAUAUGCACUUCAUUGUAGGUCGAGACUUGGGUUUUGACUGCAAGCAGGCAAAUGCAACAAUUGAAACAAGAAUGAUAUCCUGAACAACCUUUCGAUCAACCGGAGGCGGCAGACGUUGGUCUAAAACAUCGAUCAACCUAAUCUUUCGAUCACAUGAUGAUGACAAAGAUGUAGGAUCUGUUGGAUGACUUCCCAUUAAUACUUCUAGUGCCACUACUCCAAAGCUAUAAACAUCACAUUUCUCUGUCACGGCCAUAGUGUAGGCAAGUUCUACAGCAAAAUUGAACCCAUUGUAAAAUUUAUUUACACAAGUAAAUAACAAUUAAGGAAAAAAAAGAAACAAAGAUUUGAUUCUCUGUUUCUGAGAGCUUCUGCAGAUAAAUAUUUAAGAGAUAUAUUAUUAAAUUUUGCUUACAUUUAGUGUAUAAACAUGGGUAAGAUGCGCGAAAAGAAUAGCGAAAAUUUACCUGGAGCAAUAUAUCCAUAUGUCCCGACCACUAGAGUUCUGUUGGAGGAAUCUGGAUGCAGGAGCCUAGCCAAACCAAAAUCAGCAACAAAUGCCUCUAGGUUUGAAUUAAGUAGAAUGUUAUUGCUGCAUAUGUCGCGGUGGACAAUUGGUGGCUUGCAGUCAUAAUGCAAGUAAGACAAAGCAUGAGCCAUACUCUUUACAAUGUUCACUCUCUUAGUCCAAUCCAGCUCAACAGCUUCAACGUCAUUGCGUAACACACAGAACAAGCUUCCCCGCUCCAUGUACUCAUAGAUCAAAAACAUGCACUUGUUAUGCAAACAAAAACCAUAAAGCUUCACUAUAUUACGAUGCCGUAUUUGGGAUAGUAGACGAGCUUCAGUUUGAAAACUUUCUAGGAAGGCUAGCUCCUCUGUCUCUGAACGGUGAAGUUUCUUCAAAGCGACUACUCUUCCACUAGACAAUUGUGCUCUGUAAACGCUGCCAUAACCUCCAGUUCCAAUGCAAUAUUUGAUGUGGAAAUCCUCUGUCGCUUGAAUCAUCUCUUCAAAUGUAAUUCUACCAUCAUAACUCCAUAUGGAGAACUCAUCAGCCCCCUUGGUCAUUUCUCGGGUAUUAGGACUAAUUUUCUCAUCCCUUCGUCUGUGGACAAACAAGAUUCCAAGAAUUAGGGCAAGAAAUGCGAACAUUGGAAGAACAAUCGUAACCAAGCGAGUGACGAUCUUUUGGUGUUGUUCUUUGUUGCCUUUAAAAUGUUGUGCUUGGUGUGGUGGUGCAUUUUCUGAAAUAACUGGGUUUUCUACCUCUAGAUUAUUUUCUGACCAUUUUAAUCCGGGCACUCUCAAGACAGAUUUGGGGAUAACGCCGGAGAGGUUAUUCUUGGAAAGAUCCACGGCAGAAAUGUUUGGAAUUUUUCCGAGUUGUGAAGGUAUCGUGCCAUUUAUGAAGUUACGGCUUAAAUCAAGUUGUCUCAAAAAUAUAAGGUUGCCUAUCUCCGAUGGAAUGCUUCCGCUUAAACUGUUGUGGGUUAAUACCAAGUUCAGUAACUGCGAGCAAUUCAUGAGUUGUAGAGGGAUGGAGCUGUUGAGCUGAUUGUAACCAAGAUUCAAAGAGGUGAGGUUCGUUAAAUAACCAAUUGUUGAAGGAAUAGGUCCAAUCAGAUUGUUCGUAUCAAGAGAUAGAGAAUCAAGGUUCCUCAGAUUUCCAACUUCUCGAGGCAGCAGACCACUAAGUUGGUUUGAAGAAAGAUCCAGAGAGGUUAAGUUGGUUAAAUUUCCUAUGGUCGGUGGAAUUGGACCAUUAAGUCUGUUGUGAGACAAGUCCAACUUUUCCAACGAGUUUAAAUAACCAAUGGUCGAAGGAAUAGGUCCAGUGAGAUUGUUCCUAUUUAGAAGCAGAGUCUUAAGAUUCUUCAUAUUUCCAACUUCUCUAGGCAGUGGACCGACAAGAUUGUUGUAAGCCAAGUACAAAACUCUUAACUGAUUUAAAUGAUAAAGUGUUGAAGGAAUAGGUCCAGUUAGAUUAUUAUUAUCUAGAUACAGAGAGAAAAGAUUCUUCAGAUUUCCAACUUCUCGAGGCAGCCGACCACUAAGUUUGUUUAGAGAAAGGUCCAAAAUUGUCAGCUUGGUUAAAUUACCUAUGCUCGAUGGGAUUAGACCAUCUAGUUUGUUACCUCGCAGAAUCAGGGAAUGAGGAUUCUUCAAAUUUCCAAUUUCUAAGGGGAUAGCACCAUUGAGAAUGUUAAAAGAUAGGCCCAGUACGACGAGAUUCCUCAAACUCCCGAUCGCCGAGGGGAUAGUACCUAUCGUAUAUAUACACAUGCAUAUGAUUAACUAACGAUAAAUGAGCAAUAUUAUCCAGUACCGAUAGGAAAUUAUUGUAUAUGCAAUGAAAUUAUUUAUAAUGGUUACCUGUAAGAAGGUUAUAGGACAGGUCAAGCUCCUCGAGUUUUGAAAGAGCACCAAUUUCUGAUGGUAUCCUUCCGGAGAGAAAACGAGUGCCCCAAAUUCUGAAAGUUACGAGGUUAGGAAAGCAAGUGAAGUUGAAUUGGCUAAGCUCUGCUGCGUUGCCAUUGUUUUCCAUCUCCUCAGAGUUUAUCUCGACUAUGCUUCCUGCUGAAUUGCAAGUGAUUCCCAUCCACUUGCAAUGAUCUGAAGUAUAGUUGGCCCUCGCCCGACUGCUAUUCCACCAGCCUGAAUUAAGUAAAGCUUCCCUUUCUAACUGAAUGGCUGACGAUGCAGCAGACGCUGUUACAACUGCAUUAUCAGUUGUAACAGGAGCAAUAAUACUGCUUAAAAAAGUUAUAAUGACUACCAAUUUUGAAAUGGAGGAAUCCGGUGCCAUUUUUAUAAGUUUUUGGUUGAUUAGAUUCAGCCAGUGCAUGCCUGCUUUUAUAACUAAACAUUAAGUUUGACAGCAACACUCAACCAUUUUUAGCCCGCGUCGAGCUUUCUCCCUCAUCGUCAAAAUUGGCAUACGCGUUAUCAAACACAAGGUCAGUUGAGUUAAUGUCCUUUUAGGCCACUAAUUGCUAUUUUUAAUUAAUUUCGCAAGUAAAGGCUACAUGUGAUUCAUAUUCUCGCAACUUUCUAUUUCCUUUCUUUACUUUUUAGUCCACUUUCCUUUCUCCUAAAUAUUUUUCUAGAAUGGGAGGAUUAUAUAUAUUCUAGUAACUUUUCUUUUUGGAAAAAAUUUUUAUGCCCGAAUUUAGAUCCCGACCGAAUUCCACCAAGUGUAUUUGUUUUAUUUUUUUAUUUUUUUGCCUUUACGGGUUCAGUUGGGAUUUAUGUUCCGGGCUAUAGCAUUGCUCCUUCUUUUGUGUCACUUUCCUCCAUCAUCAAAAUAUCGGAUAAUCUUGAGAAAUUUUAAAAUUUAUCCUUACUUAACAAAGAAUUAGGCCCAAUACCAUAUUGUCGCCAAAUCUCAAAGGAGAAUUUUCUAUUUUUCUAGUAAAACAUAUUCUAUAAUUUACAGUAAUUAUCUAUUGGUAAUGCUAAUAGUUUUUUACACUAAACAAUAUUUUCAGACCCAAGUCAACACAAUUCUAAAAAUAAAGUAAAUAUUUUUUCCAUUCAUACGGAAAAAAUAAAAAUUACCAAGUUCAUCAAUACUCAUAUCAUUUAUCAUCAUCCGAAGCUAUACUUGCAUCAUCAAUUGUCGAUCUACAAAAGAGAAAUCAAAGAUGUUAAAAAUAUUUCUAAUAAUUAAAUAUAAAGACUGGUACCUAGGUGUUUGAAUUUAAAAAAAAAAUCAUUAAAAAAUUAUCUUUCAAGUAAUAUAUAAUUUUGUUGUGUAUUAUAUACUACAUUAAUGAUGUAUUCUAAAUAGAUGAAGUCCGCUCCCAAAUGGUGAUUGAUAUCUAUAUCUAAAUGUGUCUUAUAUAUUUCAAGAGAAAAUUUUACCUAUACUCUUAAGGUUUGGCGGAAAUGACAUGCAUGAACCUUACCUUACAAUAUAACCUCAUGAUUGCAUUUUGCUGGAUAUUAUAUAAUAAAUUAAUUCCGUUGUCUAUUAUAUUCUAUAUUAAUGAUGUAUUCCAAGUAGAUGAAACUCACUCUCAAGUAGGGUCCAAUAUGGCCGUAUUCAUGUGUCUUACAAUUUCACCGAAACAAAUUUUGGGGGGGGUUUAAGUUUCUUUUUCCUUUAUAUUUAUAUUUAUGAGAAUUAAUAAUUCUAACCAGCUGUCAUUUUAGUUGUGUUUAAAAUUGAUGUAUCAAAAAUAUGGAAAAUAGAUGGAAAAAUUUUCAAAUAAUACCCCGUCACAGAGAUAAUGUAGACUGACAUGUUUAAACAUAUAAACUCGUCAGUCGCCAAUUACUUGAAACCCACGGCCACGUCUAUUAGACAAUUAAAAAAAAGAAAUAACUUGUGUACUGUGGAUUCACACAUGAGGCUUAAUAAAUCGGCAUAUAUGUCACUUGUGAAACUCAAAGGAAUACCAAUUAAUUCACGUUAGAAAAGUGUUUUAUUUUGUAAUAAAUUAAUUUCGUUGUCUAUUAUAUACUACAUUAAUAGAUGAAACUCACUCUCAAGUAGUGUCCAAUACGGCGAUGUCUAUGUGUCUUACAAUUUCACUGAAACAAAUUUUGCGGAGGUUUUAAGUUCCUUUUUCAUUUAUAUUUAUAUUUAUGAGAAUUAAUAAUUCUAACCAGCUGUCAUUUUAGUUGUGUUUAAAAUUGAUGUUUCAAAAAUCUGGAAAAUAGAUGGAAGAAUUUUCAAAUGAUACCCCCGUCAAAGGGAUAAUUUAGACUGACACGUUUAAACAUUUGAACUCGUCAGUUGCCAAAUACUUGAAACCCACGGCCACGUCUAUUAGACAAUUUUGAAAAAAAAAAAAAAAAAAACCAAAGACUCAUGUGCUGGGAAUUCACACAUGAGGCUUAAUUAAUCAGCAUAUAUGUCACUUGUGAAACUCAAAGGACUACCAAUUAAUUCACGUUAGAAAAGUCUUUUUUUUUUUUAAUAAUUUUUUGAAUUAAAAGACAAGGAUUUAAUCAAACAAAAUUCAGUCGGACGAAAUUUAUACAAACUACCAUGAGCAAAAUACAUUCAAGAUUAACAAUCACAUUAAUCUAGCAUCCUUUUUUUUACUCCUUUCUCUUUUUCUUUCUUUACUUUUUAGGCCGCUUUCCUUUCUCCAAAUUACUUUUCUUGAUUUUCCACAGAACACAUCAAAACAUUGGACCACCUUGAGAGUCAAGAAAUAUUAAAUUUUUGGAGUCUACAAAAAAAUUAAAUAUUUUUGUCAUAAUUUGUAGACUUUUGUUCUUCUAUCAUUUUCGCAAAUUUAUUGAGAAACCACCAUAUUUAAGCAAAAGUCAUAUAGAAUUUUUUUUUUUAUAUUUUUUAUGAUGCACAAAGGACGACUGUUCUUAAAAGUUUAACUGAGCAAUUUUUUAAUUAUUUUAUUUAACUGGUUAUCCAAGUUCGAAUUCCAGAUGACUCUAACCCUAAAACCAGAUGUGGGGUACUCACAUCCCCCAUAUGUCCGUUGAAAAUAGGGUUGGCAAAACCUCGGGUCGGGUCCGGGUAUCGCAAUGACCAGACUUGACCCAAAUGCAUAGAUUCCAGGGCCGAGUUGUGCCGGGCUUUAAUCCGAGUACCCGGAUUUUAUAUUUUUUAAUAUUAUAUGUGUAUAUUUUUUUAUUUUUUGGUAAUUGUAUAAGUUUUAACUUUAUUUUAAUAAAAAUUGACAUGAAAAUAUGAACUUUAAGUGUUUAAAACUUUAUAUAUAUGUAAUAAAUGAGUCAAAUAAAUAUAAAUAUUUAAAAUAAUAUAUAUUUUAUAAUUUUUUUUAAUAAAAUCCGAGUUCCGGGUUUAUCAAGUGAUGCUCAAGACCGGCCCGGCUUCAUAUUACCCGGCCCAAAAUGCCUGGGUGCGGUCUGGGUCCGGACCGGACGAGUAUUUUUGCCACCCCUAAUUGAAAAGGGCAAAUUUUGUUUUCAACUAAGCAGCCCCUUUGUGGCUUGUAUCGAUGUACGUUUAACAUUGUCGCUCUAAUUUGAUCCUAAUAUGCACUAAUGCAAAACAAUAUGCAAUGGAACUUUGUGAACUUACGGUAACAAUUUAUUUAAACUUAUGCAAACUACUUAACUGACCAGUCAAAUAGAGUAUCAAAUAAAAUUUUAAUAUUUGGUUAAGAGACCACAAGAGUUCAUAAAUAUAUUUUUUUUUUACCAAUUAAGAAGAUUAAAAUGAACGGCAUAUUUUGUACAGAAUUAAUAUUCGUAUUCAAAUUUAACAAUAUAGUGGGCUUUUCAAAUUUCAAAUGUGUAGAUGGGGCUAAAUGCCUAAACCACAACUUUCCUUAUUAUUUUCAUUGAAUCAUCAUAACUCUGAAAAUUCAAAUUUGAAAAUAUUUUCUGACUCUCUUCUUCAUCAUUUAGUUUAUACUUCAACUGACCAUUAGAGGCAAUCAAAAGGGUUAGAAAGUAAUUACUAUCAAUAUUUGUGUACUUCAGAAUUUGAACCUUAAUGAGCAAUUAACCAAGAGUUGUUAAUUUCUCUUCCUUUCCAAAAUUCUGUUAGAAUUGUCAAUUGUUACGGCAUAUGGGUGUAAAGAUUUUUUGAUAAUAAAAGUUAAAAUUAUGGGGUGGGUUUUUAUAAGAAUUUUGGAGGGGUGUAAGAAGGUCCACUCUACUCAUAAAUGAAGCCAUGACUUGGAGAAAUGGAAUACGGAGCCCAUUAACCUUAAAGGCCUUAAACAAACCCAACAUGCUUUAAAGUGAUAAUUAAGAUGUGAGACAAGCUCGCUCUAUCACUGAAGCAUGUUCGGUUUAUUAUACGUUGUAAACCCAUCAAUUUUUGAAGUUGUUUACUAUUGCAUUUCAUCUAAAACCUGUAUUUGGUUUAUUAUACGUUGUUUUCAAAGUCGUUGACAAUCGACGGGGCGAUACCGAAAUAGAUAGUCCUAGCCUCCUAGGCGCGCGCGCGCAAAAGAAAAAAAAAAGGAUAAUGUAUUACAAGAUCACUGAUGCAUGGAAGAUCCUAGUUUUGUAGUGAGAGUAAAAGAAUUGAGCUUGAAACUAUUUUUUUGCUCAUUUUUUUAAUGAAACGCUUCAAAGAAAACAUAGAUGGCGGGAAGCAAAAUGGUUGAAGUAAGCAAGCUGUGCAGUGAGAACUGGAGGCACAUCACGAUUCACGCAUGAAUAGAAUUUGUGUGUAUGUGUGUGUGUGUGUGUGUGUGUUAAUAAGCCGAGGAUUGAUUCAGGCUGGCAAAAAUAUUAUUCAUAGUCAUUGUCAUUGUAGUGUAGUAUACCUUUAUUCUUAACUAGAUGUUAGUCCUUAUCUCCCCCAAGAUUCGACCACAAGUGGCUAGUUAUAGAAAGCUUCUUUUUUUUUUUAAUUUAAAACCACCAGAGUGGUGGGGGGUUAGCCGGGACCCCUACCUGUAAUAUAAAUCUGAAAAUGAAUCAGAUACAAAGGAGGGAGACAUGAGAUACAAGAAAAGGCUUAUCUGGUAUAGGGGAUUGCAUGGGCAUCCAAGUAAAGAAUACCAGAUAAGCCUUUGAGAAGCUCCCGAGGAGAUUAAAAACGUCGGCUAGUCCGAUGAGUGCACGCCCAGUUGGCUAGAAAAUCAGCAGCAAAAGUAGCCUCGCAAAGAACAUCUCUCACCUAAAUGGGGAAUGACGUUACCAAACGACACACCUAGCGCAGAGAAUAAGAAUACUCCCAUCGUAAAGGACCCUGGGUGUGAAUUCAUGACACCACCGUAGCCGAGUCCGACUCAACCUCAAGCACUGAAUACCCAAGCUGAAUGGCAAGCUCCAAACCCUCGCACACCGCCAUGAGCUCAGCAUAUAAGAUCGGCUUGUAGCCCAAAAAGGAUAUAAAAGCCGUUAAAACCACACCCUGGUGAUCCCGAAGAGUACCCCUGGAAGCAACCAUCUUAGGGUUGCCCCUAGAGCAACCAUCCACAAUAAGCUUAGCCACCCUUGGGGGCGGCCUCGUCCAAGCAACUAGACGAAUCGACCUCCUAGGGGGAGUUGUUGAGUGUUAGAAAAUGUAUAUUUAUAAAGGAGAAAAUCGUCAUUUUACAUUUCACGUCUUACUAACAACCCUUACUUUUAUGUAUUUAAGUUUCUUGUAAUUUAAUUAUGUGUGUUUUAUUUUAAUUAAGUAUUUUAUGUAUUUUAGGGGCAUCAUGGUCAUUUCACAAUAAACGAGAGAUCAGACUGCAAAACGGACAUCACUUUUGAACUCAGGACGAUUGAAAACCUUAGGAGGAGCAUAAAAGGAAAAAUGGCACUGUUCACAUGUACGGUACUGUCUACGUUACUGUUCACGACACUGUUCACAUAGACGGAUCGAUGACGUGGCAUUGACCGAUGAUGUGGCAUUGACUGAUAAGGUGUCACGAUCCUGUUGGACUAAAAUUCUUAUGUAUUGUUGAUGGUGACGUGGCAGCAUAUCAGUGGACAAAAAUCUCACGUACAGUACAUGCAUCACGCAUGAUUAUUUUCAACCAAACUGUGUUACUGUUCAACCCGGGUCAAACUGUGUUACUGUUCAUCCGCGUGGUCAAACUGCGUACUGUUGACUGAUGACGUGGCGCAAUCCUGAGCGUCCAAACUGUUUUUAAUCCGAUGGCCACGAUUUACUCAAUGUAUCUAUAAAAAGGGGGCCUUCCCCCCCUAAUUGGAUAUCUCUGAAUCCAUUUUUGGACUCCAUUUUCUGAAAUUCCUUCUCCAUCUUGUAUUUUCUACGUAUUUUAAUAAAUUCUCAUUUUGCCCCUAGUUCAAUUAUGAGUAGCUAAUUUUCUUUCAAGCUUGGGUUGAAAAUGAAGUCUCAACAUGUGUCAUGGGCUUUAUUUGGUAAAUUUACUUUCUCUUCCCCUCUAAUUUUUGUGGAUGUUUUGACUUCUCGUCGACAAAUAAUACUAAUCUUGUCUAGUACCGUCUCGGUUUCACCGGCCCCCUAGUACAAUGUUAUUAUUAUUUGGCACGAUAAGCCCUUAGCACCAUAUUGAUUAGAGCGUGGUUCAUGAGGUGUGGAUUCCCCCCUCAUGAUUUAAUUGGCAUUAAUAAGGAUUAUUUAGCUCAUGAUGCAUAUUGAUACGGAUCCAGAUACCUAAGUACGUCAUCUCAAUAGAUUUCUCUUCAAUUUAUUCUCGCCAUUUCAAUUUCAAUUUUAGAAUUUAUUCUCGUCAUUUCAAUUUCAAUUUUAGGAUAAUCCAAAUCAUUUUCACCACAAAUCCAACCACCCAUUUACAAAAUUAAUUCUACACACAAUUAAAAUCCACCUCUUCGUGGGAUCGACACUCGUCAUCAUUAGUCUAUUCUACAAUAGAUUCGUGCGCUUGCGAGUUCAAUAAAAUUUGCACAACAAGAGUCAUAACUCGCAAGCCCUUCGCAAUACGAGAACCCAAGACUCCCCUCAGUUAGGGAGGCUUGAAUCCAAAAGCAGAACUAGCGAGCCUGAGAUCAGAGUCAACCUGAUAGAUAAUCGCAUCAGAGGAGAAAGACUAUGAAUUAAACCGGAAAGCAUUUCGGACCUUCCAAAUUUGCCACAAAAAGCAUGGCAGAAGGACCCGAAGAUGAUUCCGAGAAGGUGCACAAUGUCUCCAAAAUAAAAGUAAAGCACGGGGAGAUAGAAAACCAAGCUCUCACAUCCCCAGGAUUCGCUGGUAGUGAACCCAAAUAUGAUUGGCCCGUGGACAAUUCACAAAUAGGUGCCGAGAAGUCUCAGCAACCCACCCACAAACACACUAAGAAACUAUAGAGAAACCCCUCGAGCAUAAGGCAUCAUUAGUAGCUAGGAAUCUGUGUUGUAGCUACCAGAGAAAAAAAGAAACUCGUGAUGGGAUAUGCCUCUGCCAAAUCAUCGAGAAAAGCUCAUCCAUCGGCCUAGAGCACCGUACAAGCUCUCAAGCUGUCCGCAAGUGAAACAUGCCAUCGGGGGUAAGGUCCCAACGAAUUAGGUCAGGAUUCCCACUAGAAAUAGACACUAAUAGGAUCUGCUCAAUAAUAGAUGAAGGCAAAACGUCCUCUAAUUUGCCUCUGUCCCAGACUGUACCCUGCUAAAAGAACGAGACCGGCACCGACGAAGCCGCUGUAGGGUUAUAAAAAAAUAGAGGGCAAGAACUUAGCCAGCAAUCAUACCAGAAGCUAUAAUCUCCACUCCCAAUGAGCCAAUGCACAUGAGGUCCAGCCGUGCAACGAAUCUUACAAAGGCGUCUCUAUAGAGGAGAGGCAGGAUAGCGAAACUAGAUCAAGCUCGGAUGCGUAGAUCUGCAAUACUUGGACUUCAUAUAGGAAGCGCAUAACGAACUCUGCUGACAAAACUGCCACCAAAGUUUAAUCUCAAAAGCCUCCUCCAUAUCAUCAAAAGAUCGUAUGCCAAGGCUACCCUCGUCAACUGGAUAACAAACCUUCGGCCAUCUACACCAGUAGAUCCGGCGCCUUCCCUCAGAAUCACCCCAUAGGAAUUGGGUGAACAAUCGCUCUAGGCACUGAACUACCAUUACAAGAGGACGAAGGACGUGAAAUAAGUACAGGGGCAUAGAGGAUAACACAUGGCGAAUGAGGACCAGCUUCCCAUAAAAAGAAAGCAGACAGUUAUCCCAACCGGAAAUCUUAUCCCUGACCUUCCGGACCAUGUCAUCAAAAUGGGAGAUCUUUAGGUGCCUGAGAUAAGUAAACAGAAGCUGACGCUGCUGAAAGCUAGUAACAAAGUGAACAAGGGCCUGGCGGGAGGCCGAAGCCGACUUCCUAAUGUAGGAGUUACUCUUGUCCUGGUUAAUCAACUGCCCCGAGAUCGCCUCAUAAUGGUGCAAGAAAUCCAUAAGCUGCUGUAAGCUAGGUUGGCUCCCAUUUGCAAAAAUAAUAAUAUAAUCCGCAAAGCUCAAAUGGGAGAUAGAAGUAGGUGCAGUUGAACAAUACCGGACCGAGGGAUAUGGAGAAUACAAAUGAUCCAAUUCUCGAGAGAAAAAUUCUGCAGCAAUAAUAAACAAGCACAAGGAAAGAGGAUCACCUUGCCGAAGACCCCUCUGGGACUGGAAGUAUCCUUGACUGACCCUAUUCACAAGCACUGAAAACCAAGGGUCGUAAAUCACUCGCCGAAUCAAAGAAAUCCAAUGCUCCGAGAACCUAAAACAGCGAAUCAUCUGAAGCAUAAAAGGCCAUGACAUAUGAUCGUACGCCUUGGCCAUAUCUAAUUUCAGCACCACAGUGUUCCCUCGAGUAUGGCGAUUAAGAUCCUGAACAAGCUCCUGAACCAGGAGCACGUUAUCAUGAAUCACUCGACCAGGAACAAAGCCACUCUGAGUAGGAGAAAUAAUGCGAGGUAGGAGAGGGGGCAAUCUCUAGACAAGCAACUUGGUAAGGACCUUGUUGUUCACGUUACAAAGACUAAUCGGACGGAAAUCAGCCCAAGAAUCCACAGAAUCCUUCUUAGGCAGAAGGACCAAUAAAGUACUCUAGAAACCUCUGGGCAUAGCCGAACCUCUGAAAUAAUCAAGGACAACAUCUAACAAGUCACGGCAAAUGAUGUCCCAACACGACUGAUAGAAUCUGCUAAUUAUAUAAGUUAUUUAAAAAUCAUUCGGACAAACUUUUAGUGACAAUUGAACAUAAAUUUAACUUUAAUUAAAAAAGUUCGACACCGCUUUAAUAGAAUGGAGAACGUUUAUUUUGCCCUAGGGAAAAUGCACAACAAGUUCUUUUACAGACUCCGUAACCAAAUUAGACAAGUAAAUAAUCAAUGACGGAAUUAAGAGCUUGGUUUAACAAGGUCAGCAUGAAGAAACUACAAAUUUGAGGUUAAAAAUUUAGAAAUAGAGGCCAAAACAUAAGAUUUUCAAAGAAUGACUAGAUUUCAAUUAGAUCCCAGGGAACAUUAACCCAGUUUACUGCUUGUCGUAGAACUCUUUGUUUACAUGAAUUAAUGUUUAAUAGCCUUUAGUAUCUCAAGCUUGACCCUUGCAGCUAUCUAUUAGUUCAUUUAAUUAAUAACUUGUACGUAUUAACAGCUACUGAAGUAGAAAAUGCCCGCGACUAGUGCAUUAGUUUCUUUAAAAUCCGGAGACAAAGAGUUGUUCUGAUUAUUUUAUAAUUUUUUUUUUCACAUGAGACACCAUUCAAGACAAUGUCCAUGUGGUGUGAAGGCCAAAAUGCCCGUGAACCAGUCAAUUUUUGUCUUUUUCAGCAUUUUAAUAUAAUCACUUUGUAUUUAAAUUACUAUUUGAUCGAUUAAAAUUUCAAUAAUUUUACAGCUAACCAUGUAUUUUUUAACCAUAAUUCCCAGCUUCCCUUCUAUAUAUAUAAGUCGGCAUCAGCUGAUCAGCAUGAAUUAAGAGUUCAUAACCAAACUGAAAUAGAUAUCCAAAGUUUAGCGUUACUGAGAAAUAUGAGUUCUAGGAUUUAUUUUAUGCUCAUCGCGAUAUUUACUGUCGCUGGAGUUUUGCAAUUUUCCGGCCAAGUUUCUGGCGCACAACAUUGUGGAAUGAAUACAAAUGUUCUUGGCCAGCUUGUAUCACAAUGUGAGAAAUAUGUGUUGAAAUCGGGGCCGAAGAUUCGGCCAUCUCCUAGUUGUUGUGCGGUUGUGAAGAAGUUGAUGUGCCAUGUGUGUGCACGUUUGUCACAAAGCAGAUUGAAGAAAUUGUAAGUAUUGAGAAGAUGGUUUAUGUGGCCAGGUCAUGUGGCAUAAAGAUUUCUGCCGGGACAAAAUGUGGAAGUAAGUAAAUAACAUUCCUCGUGCAAUUACCAAUAAAUUCUAUUAAGAAUGAUAAUGCACUUCUCAAAUAGUAUCUCGACUUUAUUUCUCAUAAGUGAUGCGACAUUUAUCUGUAAAAUAAUAAUAUGAACUAAUAAGUAAUUUUAUAGGUUCAUGAAACUGGCAUUCAAUUGAUGAUCAUAUAUCAUCUCAGUAUGUUCAUAUUCUCAAAGUUCUUCACAUCUUUUUAUUUCAAAUUGAAAGAUAAUAAACGCACUCUAGUUAUCUUUCAAUUAAUGAAUGAUGUUGAAAAGUCAAAGAAGAGCUUGCCAAUUUCAAGGUUGGUAGCACGAUUCAACAAAUUGUUGGUUACACCAACAAUUGUAGAGAUUUUUCAAGCCGAAAAGAAAGAAUGGACAAAGGGGAUGGAUUUGGAAAAUAAUAAUAAUUAAAAAUUAUAUUUUUAAUUAUUUUAUUCUUUGCAUAGUAAUUCAUUUCUCCUAUAAAUAGCUAAGGAUUUCAUUCAUUUGAAAUCAUCCCAAAAUUGUUAAGCUUAUAAGUUUCUAAGCUUUUGAGAGAAGUAAGAGAAGUGAGAGAAGUGUGUCUGGGGAAUUUAUCUUUCCUGCAGAGUGUGAGAGUACUGGGUAUAUUUGGGUUUAUGGGGAGUGAGAUUCGUUACUCAAAUAUUGUAUUAUAUUAAUUGUUAAAUAAACAAUUAUUCUUUUUUGCCUCCGUGGAUGUAGGUUUAAUUACCGAACCACGUAAAUUCUUGUGUCAUUUAUUUUUUCAGUAAUUUUUUGGUGCGCUUGAUUCCGCAUUCCGCGCACAACAAGUGGUAUCAGAGCCGACGGUUCGUACUUGGGGGGAUACGGUACUGUUCACGUAUACGGAACUAUUCCCGUAUACGGUACUGUUCACAUACAGUAUUGUUCACGAAUACGGUGGAGACGGCCAUUUGUACUUGGGAGACAGUCUAUUGUAAGUAGUGUGUAUUUUUGCAUGUCUAGGAAAGUUCUGUCAAUAAAGGCGAUAAGAGUCUAAGGAUUCUGGUUUUUAAUUGGGACCGAGUUCCCGUCCAGUUUCCUGAGAACUUUCCUGGUGCAUUUAUUCACGCGAAAUUAACAUCAUAGAGGCUGUUUUUCAAGUGGAAAUAGUUCGUUGAAAAAAUGGUAGAAGGUGAAACUUCCAGAAUUGGGGAGAGAUCUACCGAGACUAUUUCAGGAGACACUUUAGGUGGGAGGCGAGAUUUGUCAAAUCGCUAUUCAGCACCUGUUAUAGGAGGCCAGAAGAUCGAUGUUGAAAAGUUUGAUGGGAAAAUCAACUUCGGCAUGUGGAGGCGCGAAGUUAUGGAUGCCCUUAUUCAAAUCGAUCUCGAUGUUGUCCUGAAAAAUAAAAGACACUUGUAUGAUGAAGAAAUUUGGGAUCGUAUGAACGAGAAAGCCCUUGGUCAGAUCAGAUCUUGUUUGACCAAGGAGGUGAAAUACUUGGUGAAAGAUGAGGAGUGUGCAGUGACUUUGUGGCGUACAUUGGAAGAGAAGUACCUGGUGAAAAGUCCUGAAAAUCGUCUUCAUGCAAUGAGCCAAGUAUAUGGCUUUCGAAUGAAGUCUGGGGUGUCAAUGCACGAUCAUGUUUCAAGAUUUGAAAAGUUACUUGCUGAUUUGAAGAAUCUUGAUGAAGAUAUUAAAGAUGAAGUCAAGGCUAUGAUUCUGUUACACUCACUACUAGAGGAAUAUAGCCAUUUUGUGACUACUUUGAUAUAUGGGAAGAGUGUGAUCGUCUUUAAAGAUGUUUGCACAGCAUUGACUAGUUUGGAGAUUCGGAAUAAUGAUAAAAAUUCUGAACGAGCAUCGUCUGAAGCUUUGGUGAGCAGAGAUUGGGCGAUGGAGAAACAGAAGAAGCGUGGUGGAAAGAAUUCUCGAUCCAAAUCGAGAAGCAGAAAUAUAGCUCGAGAUGAGUGUGCCUUUUGUCAUGAAAAGGGCCAUUGGAGAAAAGAUUGUCCAAAGGCUCAAAAGAGAGAUGGGAAGAAACCAGCAGCAGCAAACAUGGCACGGAAAGAUGAGAACUCUGAUUAUUCACUAAGUAUUACUCCUGCAGCAUAUGUGGCUAGUUCGAGUGAGUGGAUACUUGAUAUUGGAGCAACCUAUCAUUUGUGUCCUAUUAAGGAAUGGUUUACGGAUUUUCGUAAUCUGGAAUCCGGUGCAGUUAUGAUGGGGAAUAAUCAACCUUGUCGCACAAUGGGGAUAGGAACAAUUCGGCUCAAAAUGUUUGAUGGAAUGGUCAGAGAACUCAAAGAGGUUAGAUUUGUUCCAGAGAUAAAGAAAAAUCUAAUUUCUGUGGGUGCUUUGGAAGCUAAAGGUCACAAAGUUACCAUUGAAGAUAGCACAAUGAAGUUUACACAUGGGGCUAUGGUGAUUCUGCAAGGGGUUCGGCGUCACAAUCUGUACUAUUUGAAGGGAGGUACAACUGAUGAAGCAAAUGUUGUUGAGGCGCACAGUGACACCACCAAGCUAUGGCAUGUACGACUGGGACAUGCAGGAGAGAAGUCUUUGCAAACUCUGAUGAGGCAUGGACUCUUAAAAGGUACCAAAACCUGUAAAUUAAAUUUCUGUGAGCAUUGUGUAGUAGGCAAGAAAACAAGGGUCAAGUUUGGUACAGCUAAUCACGAUACUCGUGAGAUCCUUGAAUAUGUUCAUAGUGAUGUAUGGGGACCAACCAAGACUGCAUCAAUUGGUGGAAGCCAUUAUUUUGUUAUAUUUGUUGAUGAUUUCUCUAGACGUGUAUGGGUGUACACCAUGCGAGCAAAGGAUGAGGUUCUAGAGAUUUUCGUGAAGUGGAAGAAAUUGGUGGAGACUCAAACUGGCAGAAAGAUUAAAGUAUUACGAUCUGAUAAUGGGGGUGAAUAUACUUCUGAUCCAUUCUUGCAAAUAUGCCAGAACGAGGGUAUUAAAAGACAUUUCACGGUGAGACAUACUCCGCAACAGAACAGUGUGGCUGAGCGUAUGAAUCGUACUUUACUGGAGAAGGUACGAUGUAUGUUAUCUAAUGCUGGUUUAGAUAAAAAGUUUUGGGCUGAAACUGUGAGCUACGCAAGUCACUUGGUAAAUCGGUUGCCUUCUGCUGCAAUUGGAGGUAAAACUCCUAUGGAAAUGUGGUCUGGAAAGCAUGCACAAGACUAUGAUUCCCUUCGUGUAUUCGGGUGUCCAGCUUAUUAUCAUGUCAAAGAUGGUAAACUGGAUCCUCAUGCUAGAAAAUCUAUCUUUGUGGGAUUCAAAGGUGGAGUAAAGGGCUUCAAGCUUUGGGAUCUCGAAGAAAAAAAGUUUGUGUGUAGCAGAGAUGUCACAUUUGAUGAAGCUUCAAUGAUAAAAGCUUCAAGUUCUCAGCAGGUGGAGAACAAGACCACAGAGGUAUUGCAGCGGGUGGAGUUUGAUGCAACUCCAUAUGUACCAGUUAGUUCUACAUCAAAGAAUGGUUCAACUAUGGAGGUGACACCUAAAGUUGAAGAAGAGAUUGUUUCUUCUGAUGUCCCACAAAAUGAAGAAACAAUUGAUGAUGUAGAUGAUGAUGAUUUUAUAACAACAAGGAGGCCAAGAAGAGAGAUAAAGAAACCCAGAUGGCUUACUAAAGAUAUGGUGGUAGCCUAUGCACUUCCAGUUAUUGAUGAUGACAUCCCCAAUACUUUCGGUGAAGCAUUACGCAGCAAUGAAAGUGAUAAGUGGAAGCUAGCCAUGGAGGAAGAGAUGAAAUCUCUCCAUCAAAACCAGACUUGGGAACUUGUAAAGUUACCAAAGGGGAAAAGGGCUAUUGGCAAUAAAUGGGUCUACACCAAAAAGCAAGGAUCUCCGAAUCAAACAACUCCUCGAUACAAGGCAAAGCUCGUGGCAAAAGGUUUUGCUCAAAAGGAAGGUAUUGACUACAAUGAAGUUUUCUCUCCAGUUGUAAAACAUACUUCCAUUCGUAUCUUACUUGCCUUAGUUGCAGAAUAUGAGUUAGAGUUGGCUCAGUUGGAUGUUAAGACGGCGUUCUUACAUGGAGAUUUGAAGGAGGAAAUAUAUAUGAUUCAGCCUUGUGGUUUCAGAGUUGCUGAAAAGGAGAAUCAUGUGUGUAGGUUGAUUAAAUCUUUGUACGGAUUGAAGCAAUCGCCAAGGCAGUGGUACAAAAGAUUUGAUCAAUUUAUACAAGGGCAGAAAUUCACCAGAAGUGAACACGAUCAUUGUGUUUACUUUAGAAGACUACCAGAUGGAGCUUUCAUCUAUUUGUUACUCUAUGUCGACGAUAUGCUUAUAGCUUCGAAGAAUAGAGAUGAGAUGAAAGACUUGGGUGAUGCACAAAGAAUACUUGGGAUGGAGAUUCAUAGAGACAAGAAGAAUGGGAGCGUAUGGUUGACUCAAAAGUCUUAUUUGAAGAAAGUGCUAGAAAGGUUCGGUAUGGAUGACAAAACUAAACCGGUAUGUACACCCCUAGCUCCUCAUUUCAAAUUAAGCUCUUCUUCAUGUCCUAGAUCUCAAGAGGAGCGCGAUUACAUGGCUCGUGUUCCAUAUGCUAGUGUUGUGGGUAGUCUUAUGUAUGCUAUGGUAUGCACAAGGCCCGAUAUAUCUCAAGCAGUGAGCAUGGUUAGUAGAUACAUGCACAAUCCGGGUAAAAAUUAAUGGCUUGAGGUAAAGUGGAUUCUCCGAUAUCUGUAUGGGACAGUUGAUGUUGGGUUAUUGUUCAAGAAUGAUUGUGGUCAACAAUGUGUUGGGUAUUGUGAUUCUGAUUUCGCUGGAGACCUUGACAAGCGAAGAUCAACAACGGGCUACGUAUUCACAUUGGGUGGAGGUCCGGUUAGCUGGAGGUCGAUUCUACAAUCGACAAUUGCUCUGUCCACUACGGAAGCAGAGUAUAUGGCAGCAACUGAAGCUGUAAAAGAAGCUAUCUGGUUGAAAGGCUUGUUAGGUGAUUUGGGAGUAAUCUAGGAGAACAUUGCGGUCUUCUGUGAUAAUCAAAGUGCGAUAUUCCUUGCGAAGAAUCAAACAUAUCACGCUCGGACGAAGCACAUAGAUGUGAAAUAUCAUUAUGUGAGAGAGAUUAUCGAGAGCGGUGUUGUGUUGUUGAGAAAGAUCGAUACCAAAGAUAAUCCAUCAGAUAUGUUGACGAAGGUAGUUUCUGGAGUUAAGUUUCAACAUUGCUUGAAAUUAAUUCAAAUCCUUCAAUUGUGUUAAGAUAUGUCCUUCGGGAAUUUUGAACUACGGUUGGCUUGAUCCCAAAUUUUGGGUACGUAGGCAGUCAUAGAGAUGCAGCCACUUUGGGGAUGAUGGUUCAUUGGUAGUCGGCUCAGAUUUGAACAAAUCUUCGCCGAGGUGGAGAAUUAUUGAAAAGUCAAAGAAGAGCUUGCCAAUUUCAAGGUUGGUAGCACGAUUCAACAAAUUGUUGGUUACACCAACAAUUGUAGAGAUUUUUCAAGCCGAAAAGAAAGAAUGGACAAAGGGGAUGGAUUUGGAAAAUAAUAAUAAUUAAAAAUUAUAUUUUUAAUUAUUUUAUUCUUUGCAUAGUAAUUCAUUUCUCCUAUAAAUAGCUAAGGAUUUCAUUCAUUUGAAAUCAUCCCAAAAUUGUUAAGCUUAUAAGCUUCUAAGCUUUUGAGAGAAGUAAGAGAAGUGAGAGAAGUGUGUCUGGGGAAUUUAUCUUUCCUGCAGAGUGUGAGAGUACUGGGUAUAUUUGGGUUUAUGGGGAGUGAGAUUCGUUACUCAAAUAUUUUAUUAUAUUAAUUGUUAAAUAAACAAUUAUUCUUUUUUGCCUCCGUGGAUGUAGGUUUAAUUACCGAACCACGUAAAUUCUUGUGUCCUUUAUUUUUUCAGUAAUUUUUUGGUGCUCUUGAUUCCGCAUUCCGCGCACAACAAAUGAAACAUUAAUUCUCAUUGGAUAAUCAACAUAUACUUGUUUUAGAGUCCUCAGGUGGACGACUUUUGAGGUUUUGUGUCCUUUUUUGUUAUAUUGCUGGUUCUUGAGGUAAAUAAAUCCAGGAUUCCUGAAACUGAACAUUCCUGUCUGAAACUUUCAAUAUCCAAAUUCAGUCAUGCAAUACAACUACACUAUUUUAAAUCAAUUAUAUGGUUUCAGUUUCAGAUUUUGUAUUUCCAGCAUAAAUAAUCAUGCAAGCUUUUGAUGCCCAAAAGACCAUUGUUCGAUUUUUUCUUACCCCUUCUACCCCCUCCCCCCGCAUUUUCAAAUCAUCCAUAACUUUUCUGCAAUGUUCAGCCUGUGGAAAGGUAAUUUUAUCAGUGCAAGUGCUAGCAUUGUUCAUUUCUUCAGAUAGCCAUUUGCUGCGUCUAAAAAUUCAUGCUGUGUUCACUGAUGAAGGCAACUAGGAGUCAACGUCUAUUUAGAUCAGGAAAAUGACUUGUGUGGUGUGAAUUUACACAUGAAAUUCAAUUGGCAUAUUUGUCACUUGUCAGGCUCAAUGGACCCCUUUCAAAUUUCACUUUAGAAUAUUUAUUUAUUUUUUAUCUAAAGAUAAGGAUUUAAUUACACAAAAUUCAGCCUCACGAAAGUCAUACAAAAUGCGAUCAGUGAAAUACAUUCAGGAUUAACAAUCGCAUUGAUCAACCAAAUACAUCCCUUGGUUUAUAAGUUCUGAUAUGGAAAUUUCUUGAACAACAGAUUUUCCCAGCGGUGAUUUCCUUGCGAGAAAUUCUUGAGAUAUGCGUUGCAUUGUAGGUCGAGCCUUGGGUUUUGACUGCAAGAAUGCAAAUGCGACUGUUGAAACAAGAAUAAUAUCAUGAACAACCCUUCGAUCAACUGAAAAUGGGAGACGUUGGUCUAAAACAUCGAUCAACCUAAUCUUCCGACCAGAUGAUGACGAUAAAGAUGAAAGAAGAUCUGUUGGAUGACUUCCCAUUUUAUCUGUUGGAAAAGGCUGCCAAGAGUCGUGUCGCAUUUAAUUGCGGAUGAGGUGAUGUGGCAGAGAUCCACCCCUUCAUUUUGAAUUUAAAACCGACGGUUACGAGACCCUCGGGAUUCGGUGCUGUUAAAUGCUGGCUAUCCAAGGGUUUUUCUUCCAAUAAGGUAACCCAAAACCUCUCGAAGGGAAAUUAGCCAUUUCCACCGUCUCUGUCCCUGUCUCUCCGGCGAAGAAGUUUCGGCAUAAAAGCCCCCAUCCUUGCCUUUCUCCGACUGAAACAAUACUUCAGGUAUUACUUCUUUCUCCUCGGUCUCGGAUAGUUUGUAGAUAACUUCUUUUUUCUUUGUUUUGCUUGGGGUAGUAGUUGGUGGUGGUGUUUUGGUUAUUACCUAGGGAAUGUCGAAGGGUAAGGAGAAAGUCGUUGAGAUUGAUGACGACGAACUAGGUUUCUUGCCUGGUCUGCUCACUGAUCCUGCUUUUGACCCCGAGAUCCCCUUAGAACCCAUUAGGUUUAGUGUCAGGACUAGUGCUAGGAGGAUGUCCCCCCAAACAACCUCCACGAGCGGAAGCAAUGGUGAGGAGGGACCUUCUGGCUCUGAGGACACCUUAAGUGAGAAUGGGGAAGGUGACUUUGGUGAGGUGUCUCCAUCUGGAACAUCACGACCAGAAGAACGGGGUACAGUAGGAGGCAGAGCCUUGUCGCGUGAUUAUGCCAUUGAUUACAUGACGUGCACGACCUCGUUUGACGAGCUCAAUGACCUCCGGCUUAGGUAUAGCAUUCCUGGUGAGAUACCUCUCAAGGUCCCAGGAAAGAAGGAUGCUCUCAGCCGGCCUCCUAGGGGAUACGUUACCCUGUUUCUAGAGAGCUUUAAGUACGGGCUGAGGUGUCCCUUGCAACCCUACUUUGCCCGGAUACUUAACGGGCUAAAUUUAGCUCCUGGUCAGCUGAAUCCCAAUGGGUGGAGAGUGCUCUCUGGUCUGUUCAUAUUGUGGGACAGAUAUUGCCAAAGCGAGCCCACGGUUGAUGAGGUGAAGCACCUGUACCAGCUAAAGAGCAGCCCCAAAGAUGCCGGCUGGUACUACUUCCAAUCUAGCACCAAAAGCCGGAAACCCAUAACUGAUCUUCCAACUGGUGGUGGUAGGACUUGGAAGAGGAAAUUCUUUUUUGCUGGGGGUCCUUGGGGUCAAGUUGCACAAAUAGACGGGAAGGAUUGUCGCAUCCCACCCCGUUUCACGAUCCCAGGUUGCCUGCUCGCUUUAGAUGUCUUGUAUGCAUAAUUGUUCUUGCUUUAUUGGCUUGUCUCUAACUAAGUGUCUGUUUGUGUUGUAGUUUCUUGGGGUGUUCACUUCCCGCUCCAACCUGACCAGCUCAAACGGGUCGAGGCUGUACUAGCCAAUUCCUGCUCGAGCCGAGAACUGCUAACUACUUACAACUUGCUCGAGUCUCGCUUGGUACUUCUUGGCCAUAAGAUGGAGGACGCCGUGAUUGGGGCUCUGAACAGGAAACGUUCUCGACCUCAAACCACGAAGAGGGACCAGAACAAGGAUGCCCCUACUGCAAAGCGGGCCAACAUCGUGCAGCAGGUCUCUCCCUUGAAGACUUUACCUCCUCCUUCUGCCAAACUCGGCGAGACCAGUGGAGCAGCUGUUAACAUAUAUGUUUCCAUAAUAUUGAUUUUGAUGAUAACAAACAAGAUUAAGAAUGAUUAAUCUUUUAAGCUCAAAUUAUUUAAUAUUCUUUUUAAAUAAAUCAUUAUUUUCACAUUAUAAAUGUUUUAUAUUUAAUGGAAAAAUGAUUUUAUGAAAUUGAUUGUUUUGAUUCUUUUUAAAUAAAUCAUUAUUUUCACAUUAUAAAUGUUUCAUAUUUAAUGGAAAAAUGAUUUUUUGAAAUUGGUUGUUUUUCAAAGUUUAUGGUUUAAUUGAAACAUUUUGAAAACUUUGAAAUAAACAAGUAUUGCUUGAAAUUUUGGUGAAGGACUUAUUUGAAAAGUGUCAUAGCAUUUUGGGCUAUAACAUAAUUUCAAAAAGUUUUGGGAUUAACAAAGCAUUACUUAGAAAUUCUGAAAUUGGACCUAUUUGUAAAGUUUCAUAACGUUUUGGGUUAUAGUACAGUUUUGUAAAGUUUUGGGAUCAAACUGUAAUUUCAGAAAAUAGUGCACUGUGCAGAUUAUUGUAGCAAUCACUGUAGCAAACGGCUAACUGUUUAUUUAAAAACGGCUAACCGUUUAUUUAAAAAAGGCUAACCGAUAAUUUCCAAAAAGCAUGUUCUGCAAAGUAUUGUUAAAAUGAUGAUUCUGGAAACUAACGGUGAACCGUUUACUGAAAACGGUUAACCGAUUAUUUCUAGAUUGCUAACUUUGAACCGUUUAGUAAGAACGGUUAAACCAAAUUUGUUUUACAGGUCUGUGGAAAUUAACGGCGAAAGGGUAAGCCUAAACGGCUAACCGUUUAUUUGAAAAUUGGCCCAAACGGUAACUUUGACCGGCCUAAACGGUUAACCGUUAAUGGUUAACGGCGAACCGUUUUCGGGCAGACAGUCUAUAACGGCUAGUUUUUCAGCUCCAACUAUAAAUAAGCUCAAUCCAAUUCAAACAAGAGGAUUUCCAACGAUCAUCAUUGAGCAAAAUAUUGAGAAUACAACUUUCAUUGAGCUUUAAAUCCUUGUAUUCAUCUCAUUCAUUCACACAUUGAGCUUUCAUUUGUGAUCAAACACAUUGUGUGAGAGAGAUUCAUUUGUAAUCCUUUUUAUAAAAUCAAGUUAAAAGAUUGUAAGUGUUGGGAUACACUUGGGUUAAGAGAUUGGGGAUAAUCUCUUGUUGUAAAGGUCCAUUGACACCUUGGAAGUCAAUUGUAAGCGUUUGAAGCCUUGGGAGGCUAGCUUAGUGAAAUCCUCAAGCCCGGUGAGCUUGGAGGCGUGGACGUAGGCGGGGAUUGCCGAACCACGUAAAAAUCAUUGUGUUUGUUUUCUCUUCCCUUACUCUUUUAAUAUUGUGCAUGAUUGAAUUUAUUGUUUUUAAUUUGAUUAAGGCAAUAGAUUAAAUUGUUGUGUGGUUUGCCUAGGAUAAUUUUUAAAAUCUCAAUUCACCCCCCCUCUUGGGUUGCCUAGUUAGUAUUUCAGCAGCCACUGAUCCUGCUUCCUCUUCGCCUCCUGUCGGGCAUAGAUCUCGUUUACCUGACAGCCGAGCAGAACACUUGGACCCCUAUCUCAACAAGCUUUCCAAACUCGUGAGCAAGAAGGACCUCGAGGACUUUGAUGGCUGCACCUUAGGCGAGCUGGUGGGGGCCAUGCAGUAUAGCGCUUUCCAUCUCAGCUGCAUGACCACCUACUAUAAGGCCAAGGUUGGCCGUUAUGACAGGAAGAUGAAGGAGGACAUUCAGUCGGCGACGACCAGAGCUGACGUUGCUGAGAAGAAAGUAGGGGACUUAAACCUCGAGAAUCUGAAGUUGAUUGAGCGAGAAUCUCUUGCUCAAGCCAAGGCUAUUACUCUCGAGGAAGAGCUGGCCAAGGUCAAGGAAGAUCUGCAAAGGCAGAAAGCUAUGUACGAGGCUCAGCUCGAAUCUCUCCGUGAUUCCCACCGGGUUCAGGUCGAGAACUUAGAGAAUGGGGCUGACAACCAGUACAACCAGGGACUUCGGCAUUCCUAUCGUUGCAUCAUGGCAGUCCUUGGGAAGCAACACCCUGAUCUGAAGAUGGAUGACCUUGCAACUGGUGUUGCUCAAUAUAUGGACGAGGAGGCGGCCAAGGAAGACGCUAAAGGGGUAGAGCCGAUCGUGAUUGAGGAGGAAAACUCUCCUCCUCGUGCAGUACCUGCUGGUGUUGGCGAGGCGAGCACCCCCUCGGACGCAACUAGUGAUACCCCCCUGCACCUGAGGAGGUCCAGCCAACCGAUGCUGCUCGGUUUACUGAUCCACCAUCUUCUUGAUAUAUUUCUUGUAUUGUAAUGAACAAUGUUUGUGAAGAUUAUCUCCUCUGUUAAUUAUUAACAAAUUAAUAAAAAUGUUUUUGAUUACUUUCUUGUGUUGUAAUCAUGAGUUAUUUUUCGUUUGAGAAUCUGCUCGUCUUUGUCUGGUCGAGCCGGUUCUGGCUUGGCACAUGGUUUUGCCACAUGCCUUUGAAAACUCUUCAAUGCUUGGGAUUCUGCUCGCCUUCGCGUGGUCGAGCAGAUCCUGGCAUGCUUGGCUUCUGGUCUCGCCAUAAAACAAGCUUUGAGACUUGGUGAGCCUUUGCAUGCCUUAGGAAUUUUUUCGAAUGCUUUGGAGUCUACUCGCCUUCUCGUGGUCGAGCAGAUCCUGGCACGCUUGGCUUUUGUCUCGCCAUAAAACAGGCUUUGAGACUUGGUGAGCCUUUGCAUGCCUUAGGAAUUUUUUCGAAUGCUUUGGAGUCUGCUCGCCUUCUCGUGGUCGAGCAGAUCCUGGCACGCUUGGCUUUUGUCUCGCCAUAAAACAGGCUUUGAGACUUGGUGAGCCUUUGCAUGCCUUAGGAAUUUUUUCGAAUGCUUUGGAGUCUGCUCGCCUUCUCGUGGUCGAGCAGAUCCUGGCACGCUUGGCUUCUGUCUCGCCAUAAAACAGGCUUUGAGACUUGGUGAGCCUUUGCAUGCCUUAGGAAAUUUUCACAGUUUCAAGCGAAUGAAAUUCCUCGACGUUUCAUUAAUGGCAGGAUUCAACUUACAUGAAAUUAUUUGGACAUAAAACAUAAAAGAUAAACGAUAAUGAACACGAGCAGAAAUAGCUUUCAAAUGUGAACAAUUCUUACUGGAAGUAUUUUCGGAGGUGUCCAAGCAAACACAUCUGCAUGAGCCUGUAAGCAUUUCACCAACUCCUGCUUUUGCUCUCCCUUAAGUCUCGACCCGAUUCUGAUUGUCUUUCCCGGAUUCUCUGGUCCCAGGCUUACUGUUUCCAGAUCCUCUACAGGUUCUUGUCUGCCAUUCUUGUUUUCCACUCGGGUAUCGAGGGAUGUUAUCUGCAUUGCUUCCCUUGCUGCCGAGGAGUAGCAGCUUCUUGCGAUCCUCUGGUCUCCUCGUACCACUCCAACUACCCCAUUCACCCGGUACUUCAGAGCCAGAUAAUGGUUGGACAGUACCGCUUUGCUCAUCUUCAGAAAUGACCUACCUAGGAUCAUCUGGUAAGGACCUUCCUCAUCCACUACCACAAAGUCCAGUAUCAUUGUCCUUUCUGUCGGGGAGCCCCCAAUCGUGAUAGGCAGCUCGACCACGCCCAGAGGGACCAGCUUUCCUCCUCCAAACCCCUUCAAGGAGGUAUUGGUGUAAUCCAACUUCAGGUCUGCUAUUCCCAUCUCGUCCAGGGUUGACUUAAACAACACAUCAAUUGAACUCCCUGUGUCAACCAGUAUCCUGUCAAACUUCUUGCUAGCAACAGUGGCCUUGAUGACCAAAGCAUCCUCGUGGGGGUAUAGAAUCCCUUCCUCAUCCUCAGCUGUCCACAUGAUUGGCACUUGCCUGACUCUUGCACGUUUGGCUGCUGGGGUGUUGAAGAAUACCUCUUUGCUGGUCAUGGCGUAUCUAGCAUAAUUCUUCCUCGACCUGUUGGAAUCUCCAGCCAAUGUUGGGCCCCCAGCUAUCACCCUUAUUGUAGGCUGCUCGCGCCUCAAGUUCCUGUCACUCUGCUCCCCUUCACUUGUCGAGGCUACCAUUGGGAAGGUCCCAUCUAUAAACUCGUCCAGAUACCGAUUUCUCACCAAAUCCUCAACCUGGGUCUUGAGAUCCCUGCAAUCUGCUGUGGUGUGGCCAUGAGUGCCAUGGAACUUACAAUAGCGCCCCAUAUCCCUCCUGCUGGGCAGCUUUGUUAUUGGGGCAGGGAGGUACAGCAACCCUCGAUCCUUUAUGGCCUCGUACACCUCAUCCAGGGACAUCUUCAAGGAGGUAUACCGCCCAUAGUCCUGGUUCUGGUCGAUCAGGUGCACUGCUCUUUCUCUGUUUGCUCCGUUCUGAGUUGGGGUCGGUGGCAGUACUUCUGGUCUGCUCCCUCUGCUACCGUGGGAAUGUUGAUGAAGGCCACCAUAUGCCGAAUCAUGCCUUCUCCAAGGCUCCCUAGCUAGGGAACGAGGAGGUUGCGCCCUGCUGCGCUAAUACUGUAGUGGCCUCUGAUGAGGCUGGUAAGCAGUUACCCGACCUCCUGCUCCACUACCCGAGGCCUGGUGGUCCCUCCUCCUGAUCGGGCCAUUCCCCGGUAAUGCUUUCUUCUCUUUCCUCCCCAACCCUUCUAACUGGUCUGUCUUAAUCCGUGUUGCCUUCUCCUCUUCAAUCUCAAUGUCUCUCUUAGCCUGCUCGUAUGCGGCCGUGUACGUCUGAAUAACUGGGCUUCUCAAGUUGUACCACAGCCGUCCUAUCUUCACCCCUUCUUUCAAUCCCCUUAACGCCUGAGGGUGGUUGAAGGCUCCCAAGUCGAGGACAGCACGAUGAAACCUCUUGAUGAAUUCUCGAAGGGUUUCUUGCUCCCCCUGUUUCAUGCUUUUCAGCUCCAUCAUGUCAUCUUCUGGUGCCAUUGCCCCACUAAACUGCUCUGCAAAUUCCUGGCACAUCUGCUCGAAGGUUUUAAUGCUGCCCCGAGGAAGUUUCCUGUACCACUCUCGUGCACGUCCCUCAAGGGAUAGUGAGAACACCCUGCACCUUUGGGAUUGAGAUAAUCCUUGUACCCCAGUUAUGUCGUUGAAGCGCUCUAUGUGCACCAGCAGAUCAGUUCUUCCCGAGUAUCUAAGGUCUGGGAGGCGGAAAUCUCUUGGAAUAAUUGCCCUCAUGAUCUCUGCUGCGAGCGGUGAUUCUCCGUCCAGCAUUAUCCUUCAACCAGGAGCUCUGCUCCUUCCUUGCAUGUCGUCAAUUAUCUGCGCUAGUCUGCGCACUUCCUCCUCCAGCUGCACUGCACGAGCAGGGUCACUUGCUGCAACUUGAUCCCUCUCUUGCUCCACAUCAUGCAAGUGUUGCCUCAACUCUGUUUCCUCUGCAUUCGCCACCCCGUCGUCCUCAUCAAAAAUCUGUCUUGCUGGGGACUGCUCUUCCUCUCUAUGAAAGUCUCCCCGCAGAGGUAUGUUACCUCUGUCACCACCAAAUCUCCCGGUGGUUUGACUUCUCCUCGCACUAUCGGGACCUGGUGCCACUCCGCCACCUCUCACCCUUUCCUCCUGGGUUACCCUUCGGUCGCUCCUCAGCUCAUGCAGGAUGGUUGUCAAGGUCUCCAUCUGCUUUUCCAUCCGUUCCAUCCGGUCGAACAUGGCUUUUUCCCGUGCUUCACUGGCUAUCUCCCUCAGCGUCACGGAAUCGUUAAGCCUCAUAUCACCCUCUUGUGCACUACUUCCUCCUGUCUCCAUUGCUUUUCAGUUGCUUCACUCCUCUUCUUGCUAUCAAUAGAAGCUUUUUUAUCAGCUCCCCACAGACGGCGCCAAAAUGUUGAUGCGAGAUUUUGGUUACGCUCUUUCUACUACCAGGAUAUCUGCUCGAUCAACCUCACCUCGACCAGGAUCUCUCCUAGUAUGCUUUCGUCUCCAAGUAUUCCUGCGUCCACAGAAACAAGUCAGAGCACGCCGGUUGUUUUCCCGGCGUAAACCCUCCGACGCUCAAGUCAGAUAUGAAGGUUCGGGGUACGCUUGCCACAGAUCUUAUGGCUUUUGGGUAGUUUUCUCUUCUUUAGAAUUUCUUUAAUCUAUGUCCUAAUUUCAAAAUUGCUAACCAUUUUACCUUCGUUGGCAACCUUUUUAUAGGCUUCCUCUGAAUCCCAGUUUUUCGCGGUCUACGCCCGUUAUCCUCCCACCUCUCGAACGUGGAUUCCCCAUUUCCGUAGUCGUGGGUGGUUGUGUGGCCUUCGUGCCUAGAUUCUCGGGCUGGAGAGCAUGCCUCGCCAACUGUCGUUGACCGGGUCUCCUCGAAUCAACCCUUAGCAAGAAUACAGCAGGAAUGGCUUUAUGCUUCUUACAGAAAAUUGGCCUCGCGGAUGACGUGCUCGUGGAUGAGCAGGAUAUUCCUGCCCCUGUUCCCCUGCUACCUGGCUCUUACAGGACACACCUGCUUGCAGACUUCUGCCACCAAACAUCUGCUCAUCACGUCUGGUCUCGUCGGAGUAUUUCCCUCAAACAAUUCUCAUUGGAUAAUCAACAUAUACUUGUUUUAGAGUCCUCAGGUGGGCGACUUUUGAGGUAAAUAAAUCCAGGAUUCCUGAAACUGAACAUUCGUGUCUGAAACUUUCAAUAUCCAAAUUCAGUCAUGCAAUACAACUACACUAUUUUAAAUCAAUUAUAUGGUUUCAGUUUCAGAUUUUGUAUUUCCAGCAUAAAUAAUCAUGCAAGCUUUUGAUUCCCAAAAGACCAUUGUUCGAUUUUUUCUUACCCCUUCUACCCCCUCCCCCCGCAUUUUCAAAUCAUCCAUAACUUUUCUGCAAUGUUCAGCCUGUGGAAAGGUAAUUUUAUCAGGGCAAGUGCUUGCAUUGUUCAUUUCUUCAGAUAGCCAUUUGCUGCGUCUAAAAAUUCAUGCUGUAUUCACUGAUGAAGGCAACUAGGAGUCAACGUCUAUUUAGAUCAGGAAAAUGACUUGUGUGGUGUGAAUUUACACAUGAAAUUCAAUUGGCAUAUUUGUCACUUGUCAGGCUCAAUGGAUCCCUUUCAAAUUUCACUUUAGAAUAUUUAUUUAUUUUUUAUCUAAAGAUAAGGAUUUAAUUACACAAAAUUCAGCCUCACGAAAGUCAUACAAAAUGCGAUCAGUGAAAUACAUUCAGGAUUAACAAUCGCAUUGAUCAAUCAAAUACAUCCCUUGGUUUAUAAGUUCUGAUAUGGAAAUUUCUUGAACAACAGAUUUUCCCAGCGGUGAUUUCCUUGCGAGAAAUUCUUGAGAUAUGCGUUGCAUUGUAGGUCGAGCCUUGGGUUUUGACUGCAAGCAUGCAAAUGCGACUGUUGAAACAAGAAUAAUAUCAUGAACAACCCUUCGAUCAACUGGAAAUGGGAGACGUUGGUCUAAAACAUCGAUCAACCUAAUCUUCCGACCAGAUGAUGACGAUAAAGAUGAAAGAAGAUCUGUUGGAUGACUUCCCAUUAAUACUUCUAGUGCCACUACGCCAAAGCUAUAAACAUCACAUUUCUCUGUCACAGCCAUGGUGUAGGCAAGUUCUGCAACAAAAUAGAACCCAUUGUAGAAUUUCAUUGCACAAGUAAACAACACAAAAAAAAAAAAAAAAAAAGAAUAAGCAUUUGAUUAUCUGUUUCUGAAAGCUUCUGCAGCUAGAUAUUUAAGAGAUAUCUGAUUGAUUUUUAAAUACAUUCAAUGUAUAAACACGAGUAAGAAGCAUGAAAAGAAUAGAUAAAGGUUACCUGGAGCAAUAUAUCCAUAUGUUCCCACCACUAGAGUUCUGUUGGAGGAAUCUGGAUGUAGGAGCCUAGCCAAACCAAAAUCAGCAACAAAUGCCUCUAGGUUUGAAUUAAGUAGAAUGUUAUUGCUGGAUAUGUCGCGGUGAACAAUUGAUGGCUUGCAGUCAUAAUGCAGGUAAGACAAAGCAUGAGCCAUGCUCUUUACAAUGUUCACUCUCUUUGUCCAAUCCAACUCAACUGCUUCAACAUCAUUGCGUAACACACAAAACAAGCUUCCCCUCUCCAUGUACUCAUAGAUCAAAAACAUGCACUUGUUGUGCAAACAGAAACCAUAAAGCUUCACUAUAUUACGAUGCCGUAUUUGGGACAGUAGACGAGCUUCGGUUUGGAAACUUUCCAGGAAAGCUGGCUCCUCUGUCUCUGAACGGUGAAGUUUCUUCAAAGCAACUAGUUUUCCACUAGAC